RNAcentral lists this long non-coding RNA (52069 nucleotides) under Coffea arabica (coffee). RNAcentral's name for it is "long non-coding RNA (CARA_LNC001731)". Lineage: Eukaryota; Viridiplantae; Streptophyta; Magnoliopsida; Gentianales; Rubiaceae. The record is from RNAcentral.
UUUUUUUUUUUUUUUUUGUUGAAUUGAUUUCAAACUAGAAGUCUAAAUGCCUCAUAAUGUAUAAGACUGUAUAGUAAUCAGUAGUUUUUAUCUCUUAAACGCUUCAAAGUUGAAAAUUUUUAAAAACGAAGCAACUAGCAAGAAGAAAAGAGAAUAUUCCAAAAAUUUCAAAAGCAUGAUGAUUCUCUUGACUUUUCAGAUGAAUACUAGGAAACAAGACAUCUAUAAGUUGGGAAGAAACAAAAAUAAGUUUUAAAAAAAUAGUUGGAGAGGGAGCAAGCCAGUAGAUGUAUUCAGUAAGUGAAGUGCAACGAACAUUAGUUUGAAUAAAUUCUGAUUACAUUCUUUAAGAUAGUCCUUUUUAAUUACAUUCUUCACUAGUUUCUUAAAUUGAUGGAUUGCAAAUAUUGUAUGCAAUUAUAAAUAAUUCAACAAUGUUAGCAAAAUAGAUUCUAAACAAUCGAAUAUAACCAAUAUUGUAUGUAUACCUUUACUUAAUCCAUCUAAUCUAAAUGACCGAACUCCUAAAUCCUAAUCGUAUUUCAUUAUGACAUAAGAUAACUCCUAUUUGAUUUGCACUGCAUUCUUAUUGGUUGCUCUAUUCUAUUGCCAAUUAAUUACUACUCUAAAUUACCCGUCACAAACAAUCAGGUAGGUACAAUUUAAUCCCAUAAAAGUUGAGAAUAGUUUUAAAGUUUUAAUUAUUACUGCAAUAAAACAACCAAUAAAUUUUAUUUUCGAUUUUAGGGCAUUUUGUUCUUUUUGGAUGAUUACAUAUCUUUCCAGCUUUUAUACAAAGCAAACAACAAAAGCACUCCAAAACAAGUAUCAAGUACAAAACACUAACCCGCCGUUCUCGGGUGUUACAUUUAAAAUUUAACUUCACAUCACCAGCAUGUAUAAUUGAUACUUGCUUAUGGUUAAUUUUCUGAUUUUUUUUAAGGGAAUAUGCUCCCAUAAUUUUUAAUAGUAUUGGAAAACUAUAAUUCUUGGACAAUAGAGAGCUACUCCCUCCGUCCCGUUUUGUUAGUCUUGGUUUUUUUUUUCACACAGAUUAAGAAAGUGUAAUUAAUUUGGUUGGAAACAUAAAUUUAGAUUAAUAAUUUCCUAAAAUACCCUUAUGCUAAUUACGAAGAGUCAAUUAAUAUCAGUUACAACUAAUGGUGCCAAUAAAUAUCAGUUACCGCCAAUAGUGCACCCUGAUUGUUUCAAUUACCGCCAAUAGUGCCAAUAAAUAACAAAGAUAAACUUUUCAUUUAUCUAUGUAUUGGAAAAGCUCAAAUGUAUUCAAUGUAGUGGGUUAGUAUUUAAUAACAAUGUAUUAAUAACAAGAUAUUUAAUAAGGGUAUUUUAGACAAUUUGAAAGAUUACUACAUUUCUUAAUGGGAAAGUGGACUACAAUUUGGGACAGACAAAAAAGGAAAACAAGACUAACAAAACGGGACGGAGGGAGUAUUACAUGAACAAUUUUAGAAGGUGCACACAGAAAAGUUAAAGGGACUAAAAUUUAUUUGAGCAAUUUCUACACGAACAUAUUAGGAAUAUUCAUGUUAUUUUCAAUUGAAUUUUUGUAAUUAUGUUGUUGCUAUUAUUCCUUCUCAUCAUAAUAAGCUUAAAUUCAAAAGGUGUAAUAGAAAACUAAAAAGAUGAUUAAAAUUAAUCUAAGCCAUUACUGCAUGAACAUAUUAGAAAUAGUUAUAGUAUUUUAAAUUGGAACCAUACUAACUUUACAUGUUUUUAUCUAUUUAACUUUGUAAAAAACUUGAAGAGAAUUUCUCGGUCUUGAUUUAGUAGUAUUUUUUUUAGUUACAUUAUUGUUAUUGAUCCUUUUUUAUCAUGAUGAAUUUUAGGCUUUUUUUUCUUCACUUUAUUGUCCUCGACUUCUAAAAUUUUGAACAAAAAUGCUCUAUGUUUUUAGACCUGAAAGUUUAAUUGCUCCAAAUUUCCUUUUUUUUUUAAGUAUUUAAAGAAAUGACGUAUCUAUACAAUUUCAAUGAUUGAAAUACUUGGUCAUCCUUCAUAUGUAUACUUACCAAUUUAGAUGCAAGAGUGUAGCCUUAUUCUAUCAACGGCUAAACUGAAUUCAAUUGCCUGAUCUUUUGUUUGUUCAAUUCUACAAUUUCUUUCAAAUUAUAAGAAAUUAUUAGGCAAAGAAGUUAAUGGUCUUGGUUUAUAAGUUUUGAGGCUCUAUGCCUCAUUUGUUGCCCAUAUUUGAGGUGUUAUCACUUUAGGUAAUCUAAUUUUAGAUUGGAUCUCUAUUGAUUUUACUGAAAUAGUUGAGAAAAAUUUCCAUUCUUGGUAUGAUGGUAUUUAUGGUAUUUAAAGAAGGACGGAGCUCUUCUUCAUAACCCUAAUUCCAGAAAUCAUUACCUAAAUUAAUCAUUCCAAAAAUGGCUUCUGCCCCGCUAUUGUCAAGGGUUCUCCGGGUGUAUCGUGCCGCCAAGAAAGCUGCCACAAAAGCUGGUAAGACCUAUCUCGCCGCCGUGAAGGAAGUUGACAAGAAAUACUGAUGUCUGCUGAAUUUUUCGAAGAUCGUGAUUAGAUCAAAAGCGGAUUUGGAGGUUGUUAUCAAGGUGAAGCGGGCCAAUCCGAAUUGGGAGGUGAAAGUUAAAGUUCCAACGAAAUACAAGGCCAAUGGCUAAGAUAAGCAGUCGGAACAAUGCCUCCGGGCAAUCGCUCGUGAGGCUGAAAUAGAGUUUGUGUCUAGAAAAGUUAGGGGAGGGUGAGGUUUUAGGAGAAUAUUAAGGAAAUGGGGUUAGGGUAUGGGGUAGUAGGGGGUAUGGGGUAGGAAGCAUCUUCUUGAUGCAUUUGACGAUGAUUUCAUAUUAAUACUUUCUGUCGUGUAAAAAUGCUAUCAUUAUCAAAUGCUUUCCUUUAAAAAAAAAAGAUGGUAUUUAAAGAAAAUAUUAUAAAUUUUCAUGUUUGGUAUUCUUACAUAUAUGCUUGUUAUACUUUAUAUCAAUCAAUUUAGUUAAAAAUGUUCAUUAACAAGUUGUCUUUACAUCAUUUUUCCUUUCUCAAGUUCAUUAAUCAUGCUCUUAUUUGUAUGUUGAGAUUAUUAUUAAAUUCAAUAAAGAAAUCACCUGCAACCAGUAGGAAGUCAUUUCUCAAGAUUGAAGUAUUAGCCCUACCAUACUAAUCGUAUAUAGAAAAAUACAAUCAUCCUUUCCAGAUAAGAAAAUAAUGUUAUACUAAAAAUGAGGAAAAAGAAAGACUAUUAGAGCAAUAAGUUUGAUUUUUGACCAAAUCAUCUAAAUUUGAUAUACAAACCAACAAAUCCCCGUUCCAUGAAGUUUAGAGAAAAACCAAGUUAAUUCACUUAGUAUCAGUUCAACUAUAUAUCACAUGCCAUGGUAGAAGGGAUUUAUUUUAAACAAAAAAAAAAGAGAAAAAACCAAUCUUUUAGAAAUCAUUUUAUAUACUCUUAAAAUAUUAAAAAUAGCCUUUGUCUCUCAAACAUUUUACAAAGUGAAAGAGAAUCACUUUGAAGUAUACAACUUUUAUGUCUAUGAUUUUAUCAAAUCUUUUAAAUUACAGCUCCUGGUUCUGCUAUUAGUUAUCAUAAUUGAAAGUAAAAGUUAUGUAUGGAGUAUACUAUUCUUAUGUAUACUAUUCUAAUUGAUUUUUCUGAUAAAUAUAGAAAGAGGGGACUUCCUAAAUUUGGUAAAUAAUCCUCUCUAAAUGUCAAUUGGAUUUGAACUUUGUUGAUUACUCUAUAUAUUUAGGACACUUUAUGCUUAUUGAGUGAAUUUAUGCACUAAUGAUUAGGUUACAAGUUAUUUAGAUUUCAAAAUAUUUAUUUAUGCUAUUUGUUUCUUGGUAAAUUCUCAGUUUUAAUUUUUUUAAAAUUUUUUUUAGCGAUAGAAUGAAGAAAAAAAAGCAUGGGGAUGGUGAGAAUGACAAUCUAAGUUACAUUUAGAGUCAAAUGCUUAUUUUCAUAUUAAAAAGAAAAAUCUGAAAAAGCAAUCUUUAUGGCAAUUAGCAUAAUUUAUAAGUGAAAAGUUAAAAAUGCUAAAUGAUUUGGUUGUCUCAAAACUAAAAAAGAUGCAGUCACAAGAAGAUGGAUUAGUUUAGACAUUUGAUUUUCUAAUAGCAAAGAUACUUAAAGUUGCCAUUUGAAAAUAUGGCGUAGAUAUGUUAAACUCCAUAAAGUUGGUUACAGAUGAUGCAAUAUCUUAACAAGGUAUAAGGUCAACCUCUCAUUAUUUCAACUUUCUACCUUAAAUAUGUUUCAUACAUAAAAGCAAGAAAAAACAUCUUCACAAAUGGAAGGUUAGUAUUUUCUACAUUCAUCAAUAGGAAAAAAAACUAUGAAAUUGUUUAGAAAAUUUUGUUUAAUUGACAUAUAUUUGCAUAUUCAUAUUGUUUCUCCUAUUAUAGAAAAAUUCCUUUCUUUCAAAGUUGAAACAUUUAUCGACUACAUGGCCUUACAUUUCUAUCUUGGGUAGGAUUUGCAAAUUUUAGUUGUGAUUGCUAUACAAAAAAAUGAGAAUAUUUUUUGUGAUUUUCUUUUUGAACUUGUUAGUUCAUUUUGCUAAUUUGCUAGAUUAUUUCAACUUUCUACCUUAAAUAUGUUUCAUACACAAAAGCAAGAAAAAACAUCUUCACAAAUGGAAGGUUAGUAGUUUCUACAUUCAUCAAUAGAAAAAAAAACUAUGAAAUUGUUUAGAAAAUUUUGUUUAAUUGACAUAUAUAGUUGCAAAUUUCUCCUAUUAUAGAAAAAUUCCUCUCUUUCAAAGUUGAAACAUUUGUCGACUACAUGGUCGUACUUUUCUGUAUUGGGUAGGAUUUGCAAAUUUUAGUUGUGAUUGCUAUACAAAAAAAUUAGAAUUUUUUUUGUGAUUUUCUUUUGAACUUGUUAGUUAAUUUUGCUAAUUUGCUAGAUUAUUUCAACUUGUAUCUAUAUAUGAAUUUGGAUUAGGCCUGUAAAGUAGACCAAAGUGUUAAUUCAGAUCUUGAAAGUGGAUUAGUCAUCUAGAUAGAAAACUUUGCUCUAGAUGAGCCUUUCCAUCAACUCAUUUUUGGUCAGUUACUUUAACCAAUUUUUAGUGGUGAUGUGAAAGCCUACUAAUUAUUUUGGCAGCUUUUGAAAGCAAUUAAUUUCCUACCUCAAUCUCCUCACUUUUGCAAAUCCCAAGUGCCCCCAUCUUGUACCCGAUGAAUUCUUAAUUAGAAAGUACUCCUCUUCAUCGUUCAUAUACCCGUGACCAACUAUCAGCACAUCAUGCUUGCUGAUCUUCUCCAUUUUUUCUUGGGUAAAUUUCCUUUUGACCCCCUAAACUAUACCCUGUUUCCCACUUCAAUCCCUAAACUUCUAAAUGGGACACUUAAGUCCCCAAACUACUGAAUCCGUCCCAAUUAAGUAUAACCGUUGACGGACUCGACAGAAUCAUCAGGGUUUUCGAGCGUGCAAAACAAGCACCGUUAGUGAGACUAGAUACGUCAUGAAAACUGAAAUAGCAAGGACAUAAUUGUAAUUUCGCUCGUUAGGUAUAAGGGGAAAAGAAAAUAGAGGGAAACAGCUUUGUUUCCAUCGUCUUCAUCGUGGAUUUGAACAGAGACAGAGAGAGAAAGAGAGAGAGAGAGAGAGAGAGAGAGAGAGGGUAUGAACGAAGUUAGCAGAUUUCUACUAAUCUAUACCCUUGACAUUCUUGUGACCGUGAGUUAGAGAUGACUGGCAUUGUAAAAUGGGAAAGUCAAGAUCGACAUUGAAGAGGGCUAAUGGAGAAAUGAGGUCGCCAGUGAAAAACAAGAAGAGAAAGGCCGUUCCCGGUAAGAGAAAUGAUAUUAAAAUGUCAUUGUUUGCUUGUUGGAUAAUAGCGUAUAUAGUAGUUGGGUUAUUGUGCUGUGUUGUCGGUUAGGUUUUGUAGUGAUAUUAUGUAAUGUAAAAAGGGCCAGAUUGACCUCUGUAUGUUAUACCCUGUUUGUGAACAAUUAUGGUAGACAAAAUUGUUUAAUGUCGAAUGUAUGGGCAAUUUGAUGAUUUGGGGUAUUUUUUAAGGAGGUAUUUUUUAAGGCAAUGUUUAUGCUGUCCAAACCGUAAUGUUCCCUGUAUUUCAGACAUUGUGGUCCCCGAUCCACUGUAAAAGGUGUAAAAAAAUUAAUUAUUGAAUUAAAAUUUUAUUUCUUUGAAUCAGGAAAUGGUGAUAGUGGAAUUUGGCCUGAAACUUUCUCCUUAAAGAUACACCAUCAAGGGACCUUUACAGACUCUCCUAACAAACAGUAUAUAGGGGGAUGGGUUGAUUUUAUAGAUAGAUGCAACCCAAAAAUGUGGUCAUUAGUAGCUCUAGACAAAUGUGGAGUCCGUCUUGGGUAUGAUGUAGAAGAUCGUUUUGGGUGGUAUUAUCUACUACCAGGGAUGACAUUGGAUACAGGCUUGGUCUUUUGUAUGUGUGAUAGGGAUUGUGAGAUGAUGGUGAACACAUUACCACCACAUAGGGUUGCGGAAGUGUUUCUUAGAGUUUUGUCACAAGGUUGUCCACAGGCUACAGCACCCUGUAGUCAAGCUAAGGGAGAUAAAGCCGAAAUGGAUAGAGACAGUGAUGUUAUAAUCAAAGACAAGGGUAUAGACACUGAUGAAGUGGAACAAGAUGGUAGAGAAAAUGUUGACAUUGAACCAGCAAAUUUAGACACUACAAAAGUGUGCACUAGCAACUGGACACCGAGAGUACCGAAUCUGUUUUCUAAAGGUUUAGACAGUAGUACUAGGCCAGAAGUAGAACCAGAAACUGCAGACAAGCAAGCAAAAAGUCUUGAUGUUGAACCAGAAAGUAUUGAAGUAGCACCAGAAACUGCAGACAAGCACGCAAAAGGUGCUGAUGUUGAACCAGAAAGUGAGGAAUUUUAUAGUGUUGCUGCUGAAAAUGAAGCAGAAUAUGAAGACGUGAAUAGCAAAGCGACUGAAACUGAAAAUUUGGUAGAAAAGAAAGCUGAUAAUAGGAGUGAUGCUGCAAAGGAACAAAAAGAUGUUGAAAGCCGUGAUGAAGCUUCAAAUGCACAAAUCAGAGAAGAAGAUGACCAAAGUAAAAACUGUAAUGAAAAUGCACAAAACACAGCCAGCAAUGAAGGUGGUGUAGGGGAAACAGAAUGUGAUGCUGCCAGACAAGAAGAGGAAGAAAAUGGAGUCAGUGUUGAUGAGAAGAUGACAGAUUCAGACUAUGAGAAUCAAGGGGGAGACAAUGACAUAUUAGAUGAAGCCAUCAAAAUUGGUCAAACAUUUGGAGGAGACCUAGGUGCACAUUCAGCUGGCCCUUCGCAUUGCAAUAAACUUGGUCUUUCUCAUUGCAGUGAGCAAAGAAAGAAGAAGGCAGGAAGGAAGAGAGACCCACCCAUUGAAAUUAACUGUUGUGAUGAUCCGGAUAUGAUUAACAUUGAUGACAUUGAAUCAGAAUAUGACUCGGAUGGUUCAUUUGAAUUGAAAAAUCAAAGUGAAUCCGAUGAAGAUGGGAAUAGUAAGACAAGGAGGCCUAGAUUUUCAGUUUUUAAUGAGCAAACAGACAUGAAGAAAUCAAAGUUUGAAGUUGGUCAGAAGUUCACAUCAGUCAUUAUAUUCAGGUUGACUGUAAGAAUCCAAGCAAUUAUGGAUGGGAGAGAUGUGUAUUUCAAGGAAAAUGAUACACGGAGGGUGAGAGUGAAAUGCAGAAGUUGUGACUGGCAGCUAUUUGGGUCUAAAAUGCAAGAUGAAAAUACCUUUCAGAUAAAAACACUUAGUGAUGAGUACACUUGUGGAAGAGUGUUCCACAAUAAAAACAUGACAUCUAGGUUGGCUAGCAAACUAUUUGUUGAUGAGGUAAGGAAAACGUCAUCUAUGACAGUGCAUGAGUUGAUAACCAAAAUAACUGAGGAGUUAAAUGUUGAUUUCAGCCUUAAGCAAGGGUAUAGAACACUUAAAAAAGUUAGAGACACUAUUCAGGGGUUCCAUUACAAACAGUACACCAUGUUAGAAUCAUUUUGUGGUGAAUUGAGGAGGGCAAAUCCGGGAUCUACUGUAUUUGUUGAAAUUGAUGUAGAUAAAGAUGGUGUUUCUAGGUUUAGAAGGCUGUAUAUGUGCUUAGAACCAAUAAAGAAAGGUUUUUUAGCUGGUUGUAGAAAGUGGAUUGGGUUAGAUGGUUGCUUCCUAAAAGGUCCAUUUGGUGGGCAGCUUUUGUCAGCAGUUGGAAUGGACGGUGAUAACAAAAUGUUUCCCUUGGCAAUGUCAGUUGUUGAAGUAGAGAAUUAUGAUAACUGGAGUUGGUUUUUAGGAUUGCUUGUACAAGAUUUAAAAAUUGAAGACUCUAGUUGCUGGUGCAUUAUGACUGACAAACAGAAGGUAGUAUUUAUUAAUUUGUUAUCCAUUAACUAUUUAUGUUAUACUAUUGCUAUUAAUGUGGCAUAUGUGAUUGUUGUGCUGUGUUGCACAGGGUCUACUUCAGGCUGUUAGGGACAAACUUCCACAAGCUGAGCAUAGGUAUUGUGUCCAACAUCUUUACACUAAUUUCAAGCAAAUGCAUAGAGGUCUUGCUCUUAAAGAUAGGCUUUGGAGAUGUGCAAGGGCUUCAUAUAUGACUCAGUUCAAAGCAGAAAUGGAGAUGAUGAAGCAAGAAUCAAAAGAUGCAUAUGCAUGGUUGGAUGAAAAGGACCCCAAUACUUGGUCAAGGGCUCAUUUCAAGACUGGAUUGGAUUGUGAUAUACUGGUUAAUAAUAUGUAUGAAUCUUUUAAUUCAAUUAUUUUAAAGGCACAAUCACUGCCUAUCAUAGGCAUGUUGCAAACUAUUUACUUAUAUUUGUUGAAGAGAAUGGAGAAGAAUAGAGAGACAAUGUCCAAACAUGAAGGUUAAGCUAUUUGCUUACUGUUUUUUAUCAGCAUUUCUUUCUAGUUACCCUAUGUUCAAUAUCUAAUUUGCCCUUUUAUUUGUCAGGUCUCUUAUGUCCAGCAAUUUUUGACAUUCUUGAGAAGGCCAAGAAAGAGCAAUGCAUGUGCAUCUGCUAUUACGCUGGCACAAUGAAGUAUCAAAUAUACUGUCCUUUUGAUGACUAGUUUGUCGUUGAUUUGGGGAGCAAGACCUGCACUUGUAGAAAAUGGCAACUGAGGGGAAUCCCAUGUGGCCAUGCAGUGGCUGCUAUUUAUAGGAGACGUGACAAGCCAGAAAAAAAUGUGGCACCCAUCUACUGGAAGAGUACAUACAUGAAGAGUUAUGAACCUGUGUUGAAUCCAAUCAAUGGACCUAAUCUGUGGGCCCUAGUAGAUUUACCACCAAUGAAGCCUCCAAAAUAUGGAAAAUCACCUGGAAGGCCAAAAAAGGUGAGGAAAAAGGGACCAGAUGAAGAUAGGAACAGGCAAUCAUGUGUGAAUCCAUCUAAACCUCACAAAGUUAGCAAGGUUGGCACUAAGAUGAGCUGUAGUCUGUGCAAGAAAUAUGGCCAUAAUAGGAGGAGCUGUCCUGAAAAAAAUCAACAAACUGCUCCAGUAGAAAAGGGAGGAGAUGGGCAUAUAGAUAAGGAAACUAGUGGGACCAGCACACAACAAAUAGAUGCCAUCAGAAAUAAAACAAGGCAUACCAGUACUGGUCCAACUACUUCUAAUAUCACUCACUUAAGUACACAAGAGAGCUGCACGGCUGCUCCUCAAAGUCUGGCUCAACAGAAAAUUGGUGGAGAACAACCAGUCAAGGGCACAAGAAAAUGCUCAUUUUGCAGGAAACUUGGCCAUUCAAAGAAAGGUUGCAAGCUGAGGCAAUGGACCUUUAGAAACUCACUGGACAUGACUGGAGAACUUGGACUCAACAGAGCUGCAACUAAUUCUCUGAUUAACCCAUAUGAGACAGCUUCAAACAAUAUUGAAUCUGGACAUGUAAGUGCUUUGAAAUUUCAAUUUUUAUGCUGUGUGAGAUGCGAAAAUGUUCACUCUCCUAUUAACUACUUCUUAUCUCGUGACAUGUAGUUGAACUCCAAUACUGGUGACAAAUUUUAUUCACACAGUCCAAGGAUAACAAUGAAACCAGCAGACUCAUACAUUGAUGAUAGGCAGACAGAAGAGCUUGGUUCAACUAGCCGUGUCACCGGACGACUUCAACCAACCCCCUUCAUUUGGAGGGGAAACAUGUGUGUAAAUCUGUCUACAUUGUAGGCAGCAGCAAGUCACGUGAAUCAUUCAACUACCAUUGCCAAUGUGCAGCUCCAUAGGAAUGCAAAUGAAGCUGCAAAGUUAGGAAAUUUAAAUCAGCCUCCAAAAUAGUUGUGUUUUGUAAAUGGCAAUGUGCAGCUCUAUGUUUAGCUGGGUUUUGUGAAUUUCUGUUGCUUUGUAGGGAGCUGAUGUUUUGUAAAUGGCAAAUGAUAUUGUUAAUGCUAAGAAAUUUCAGCUGUUGUUUUGUAAAUUUGUGAAACUUCUGGUCUUUUGGUGUAAGGCUAAACAUGCCUUCUUCUUAAAUGAUCAAAUUCAGUCCAUUUUCAAUUGCAUUUAUUGUGUCAAACAGUUGAUGGUGUUACAAAUGUUUGCAUGUGUAUCAUUCACUGACAAAAGUAGUUCAAUAAGUUGGGACACUUUAGUCCCUCAAUUACAUAAAACGGAUGAUUUAUAAACAAUACUUCAUUACAUAGGGACACUUAGGUCCCUAAAGUUCAAACAAAAGAGCAUGUCAGCCCCUACUGCUUCUUCAAGCAUAGCUACAUUACACCAGAAACCGCAGCUUAUACAUUACACCAGAGAGACAAAAUUACAUCUUUUCCAUCCCAAUUACAUAGCAUCAUUUUCCCUCUACUACAACGUUGCUUCUUUUCUCACAUAGAUGAACAUUUUCUUGUCAAACUCCAAUGAUGACCUUUAUGGCCCACAGUUGAACAAAAGGAUCCAUACAACAGCAACAACCCAGUGAACAAACAAGUACAUCUUCAGCCUUCUUCGUUUUGCUUCCUGCAGCUUUGAGUUCUCUUGCAACCUCUCAAUCUCAGCCUCCAAUUUGUUUUUUGUUCUUAUCAGUCCAGGGAUUAUAUCCUUCGACCUUUGACCCAAUCCCAGGAUCCACCCAAUCCCAAUACCUGCAUCCCUCCGAUUCCUGCAUUAACAACACCAUUGAGAGAGUAAAUACAAGUUUACUUAGGUGCAUUGCAUACAAAUCAAAACCAUAGGCGAAGAAAUGCAAACAGAUAUAAUGGGAAAUGGAAUCACCCUGUAAUUUGGACAUCGACAAAACCUUCUUCUUGGGUUUAAAUCAGUCCAUGAUGUCAUCAUCAAUGCUUGUUUUCCACAGUUGCAUGUGUCCCUAACCAUCUCUCCUUUGUCUUCUUUCUUUUCCUCAGAUUUUCGCCAGCUCUCAACUAAGAAGUUCUUACCCCUCAUUUCGGUAAGUAGGGCACAAUCGGUCCCUUUUAUGAAUUGGAUCGGGUCAAUUAUUUGACCCGAUUGUGCUUGAUAAAAGGAGGGAAACUUUCCCUCCUUUGUGCUAAAUACGGUUAUUUCUUUUUAUAUCUUUUCUCUGAAUUUCCAUCCCUACCCUUGGUCAGUGGCGCUUGUUUUGCACGCUCGGAAAACCCUGAUGAUUCUAUCGAGUCCGUCAACGGUUAUACUUAAUUGGGACGGAUUCAGUAGUUUGGGGACUUAAGUGUCCCAUUUAAAAGUUUAGGAAUUGAAGUGGAAAACAGAGUAUAGUUUAGGGGGUCAAAAGGGAAUUUACCCUUUUUUCUUCACUAGUCGAACCAUGAUAUACUUCCUUUUACAAAACGAGAAAAAGAAACAAUUAGAAGUAUGCACAUAACAUCCACAAAUCUAUGUAAUCAAAACCAUAUGAGAUUGUCACAUGAUCCCUGAGCUUCUUAAAAGAUUUAUGCGCUCACAAUAAGGGUGGACAAAAUUACCCGCUAAUUCGAAAAUCCGUCAUAUCUGAUUUGAUCAUCUGAAAAUUAGGAUAUCCAAUCUGUAUUAUUUGAUUGGCUCAAAAGAGGGUCGGGUACCCAUUUAGACGCGGGGUGGGUUAGGAUCACAUAAUUAAAAACCUGCGAGUACUCGACUCGUCCUGCAUUUAUAUUUUUUAUUUUUUACUUUUAUGCACAUACUAUAAAAUAAUAUUUUUAGAGCUAAAUAAACAAUUCCAUUGAACAAAUUGCAUUACAAAUAUGAGAGACUAUAAUUUAUUUACAAAAUUUAUUUGUAGAGGUUAUGAUCUUAUGUUUUAUAGAAAAGAGUUUAAUUAAUGUAGAACAUAAAUUUAAAAAAUGUGCUACUUAUUUCAAACUUUUAUUAAUUUUAAAUUCUUUUAAUUUUUUUUUUACUUUUUCUUAUAUUCUCUUCACAUGCUUGUUUCUUGGUGGGAGACUUUUUUGAAAAAAAAAAUUUGUAUUAAAUCUUAGAUGAAUGUGUAAAAUAUAAAAUUAAAUUAGUAUAAAUUAUUUUUUAAAAAUAUUAAAUGAUAAGUGGCAUAGGACGGGUACCUGUUGAUCUGACCCUAUCAUAUAGAAUACCCGCUAAUAUGCGGAGUGUAUAAGGGUUAGAAAAUAGCUGACUCGUAAAGUAUGCAUCGGGUCAUUCAAAUGGUGCAUAGGGUGGGUAUCCGACCCGUGCCCAUCCCUAGCUCACAAUACGCCAACCAAUGGCUACAAGUUCAACAUGUCAAGGAUAUGAUGGGCAGGUGUAAAAUCUUAGGAUUUACAUUUAACAAAGUCGCCAAUAAAAAUUUGUUUGCCUCUGUUUCAAAUAAUGGACAAAAGGUUUUACAAUAAAAUAUAUACAGUAAGUAUCUAAAUCACUUAACUCGUUAAAAAAAUAAUCUGAGCAAAGGCAACCUUAGGAAGCUUAGGUGGUUCCUCCUUGUUCUUCCUUCAUACACACUAUGUUCCUUGAGUAUUUGAAGUGCAUUGCUAGGAGUACUUGGUGAACAACCAGAUUUGUCGACAUAAAACGAUAGAGAAUGCUCAUACCGCUAGUGGAGAAAAUCCACAUAUUCCUGCUUAGAUAGGAAAAAGGGAUCUCCACCCUUAAUUACAUGCAAAGCUACUGCAGCAUCAGUAGAUGCCAAAGUAACACUCCUCUCUAAUAAAUGGACAAAUUGUGUUGCAUUCAUCUUUAAUAAAUAAUGUUGAACAUGAUAGUAGUUACAAAAAUAAAAGAUUUUUUACUUUUUAUUUACCAAAAGAAAGAAGAAUAAAUUUUAUUUACAAAAUCUAAAUUUAGAAAGUGCUUCUAACAUGAAUCAAAACACAAUAAAUUUGUACUACAAGUCUUUUAAAAAUUACCACAAGUCUUUUUAUUUUUUGGAUACAAGUAAAUUAAGCCUUAAUAGCACUUUUUAAUAUGUAUAUAGAAAUAUUGAGUAAAAAAACUUUAAUACAAAAUAUAAUAGGAAAUGGAGUAUCAAGGUAGGCAAAGAGUUUUAUGUUGGGAAUUUAUUUAUUUAAAUUACAAUAAAGAUUAAAUUUAAUUAAUUUUAUCAAUCAUAUUCUUGUAAUAGUAUUAAACUAAAAUUAAUGAAUAUUAUAUUCAUCAAUACCAAUCAUAAUAAUAAUUACAAAGGUGAAACAUCCCUUUGAGUUACGGUAAUUAAGCCAAAAUUUUUUUUUUUAUAAAAUAUCAUUUUCAAGGAGUACUUCAAAGAUGAAUAUAUAUAUAUAUAUAUAUAUCAAAUUUCAAUUCGACAGUUGUAUAAUAAAUAAUCUUAAUGUCUUACAAUUUUUAACCAUAUAAACUCUAAAUCAUAAAGCGUGUCAUCAGUGAGAAAUACAAAUAAAUUUCACCAAAUCAAAAUACUUCUUUUCAGGUUAAGCUAUUUAAAUUUGAACAAUGGAAUUUUAAUAUAUUUAGAUACUAUUAUAGUUACAAUAGCACUAAAGAUCAUUUUACAAUCCACCAUUACCAAAAAAAAUGAUAAUAAUUAGAAAAUCUCACUAAAACUAAUAAAAAAUUCAUAGAACAACUUAAACGGGAGCAACAAAUUAUUCAAAAAGUUAAAAAUUUAAACUCAAAUGGCAUAAAAAAGAACUUUCAAGUCAUCUAAAUUUAACCAAAAGACAAAUAUUGAUAUUGUUACAAAAUAAAAGUGCUAUUGGAAUAAAGAAUAAUUUAUUUUUUGUACAUUUGUAUUGGUUAAGGCAAACCAAGUUCACAUUUUUUUUGUCUCAAUUAUAUUUAUCCCUUCAAAAUAAUUGAUUUUCUAAAAAUUUUAAAGGAAAAAAAUCUAAAAGCAUCAUGUUCACGUGCUUUGCAUAUGCUUCAUUAGUAGUUGAACAAAAAGGAAGAACAUUUAGAUACAAAAAACCUUAGACUUGAACUUGAAAUUCACAUACUACAUUUGCAUUGAUUCCAAAUAGGGAGAACAGCUUUUGGUUUCUUUUUUAACCAGGACAAAGGUACCUGUAAGCAAAAAUAUCAUAAACAUUAAAUUCAACUAGUCAUUUUUUUCUUAUUUAAAAAGGAAAAAAUGAAACCCAUUGCAAUCACCUGAUUAAAAAACUCAUCUUAUUCCAAGUCCCUAGCCAUCUGUUCCAAAAUAAAGCAAAUAUAAAUAAAACCAAAAAUUAAGUAAAUGAAUCAGCAAUAAAAUAACAAAUAUAAAGCAAAUAUAAAUAAACCAACAACUAAAUAAACGAAUCAGUUAGAAACAGAAUCAUGGCCUUUUAUGAUGAUGAAAAUGUUAGAAUUACUGACUACACCGUAGUCAAAGAAUGUUGGAAAAAAUACAGGAGAAUAUGGCUAAAAAUUACUAAGCAAAUGAUACAAAAAGAUUUCAAAUCGUGACUCAAGAUCACUUUCCUUUAACCUUUAUUUGUGUAGAAUUUUGUAUGCAAAAAUUUUGGACAAAUAUCCUUUAGAAUAGUUUGAAAGAUGUUUAUCUUAACUAUUGCACAAAGUUAGACAAACCUACUUGAACUAUAGUGUAUUUUUCGCAAAAAAUUCUAGUAGUAGGAAAAUAAUCUUCUACAACAAACCAUCCCUACUAGACGUUUAUAGAGUUCAGAUUAAAAAUGAUCAAGAGUUGCAAUCUUUCACCACUGAUUUAUGUAUUUGUGUUUGUCAAAAGAUUUCUCAACAUCAAUACAAGUGUUCAGAUAAUUUUUUGAUGUUUAAACACCAUCUAGAUGGUAAUUAACUGUCAAGAACAUGAAGAGGUGCCAAGUAGACUUGAACAACUUCUGAACAUUGCAAGAAUCAAACAGUGACGAGUCUUAUGUCGAUCCUAAGACAGGCUCCCAUAUUGCAAUUGAUCAAAUUUUAAAAAUAUCCAACAAUCCCCCGUCAUUUUCAAAAUUUAGAAAAUACACUUCCAAAUGUCACAGAAUAAUUUGACAUUCAUAUACAUAAAUAAUGGUGUCUUUCGAUUGAAUCACUAUUUUAGUGAAGGUUUUUUGAAACUAAUCAAUACAAAAUAGUAGACCAACUUUGAACCACUUGUACAUAGAUUAGUCUCAUAAACGCAUCACACAUAGAUCAAUCCAUAACCAUAUGUUCUUUGAUAAUACAUUUUAUAACCUUAUAUCACUAUCCUUUCAUGAAUGUUUCAAAGAAAAAUCCUUAACUUUGUAGUUCGCCAAACUUACAUUCAUAUAGGUAACAUUUUAAUGCUCUCGCCAUUAAUGGCACUUUCAAGAUUCAUUAAGAGUCAAUGAGUCAAUCUAACUGUAAUCAGGUAAGAAUAAAAUGCAUUAUUUUGCCUUGGGAUGAAGAAUGAUAUAGUACACCAACCAUUAGAAUGAUGUAAAUUCACUCGUUGAAUUCAACACUAGAUGUUGUAUCUAGUGUUGAAUUGAGAUUUCGCCAUUAAUGGUCAUUAGGUUUGGACUUUAAACCCAUCACUUUUGAUGUUUUUAAUACAAAAUCUUUUGAUAAUUCUUUCGUUAAAGGAUCACUCAAGUUUUGACUAGAGUUCACAAAGUCAAUGGAUAUGACUCCAUUGGUGAUCAAAUCUUCCACAUAACUAUGUUUCAAACCAAUAUGUCUUAAUUUGUCAUUAUACACUUGAUUAUAUGCCUUAAAAAGUGUAGUUACACUAUCGCAAUGUACUGAGAUAAGCGACAAUGAUUUUGGUCACAAUGGUAUAUCAUAAAAUAAAUUUCGUAAUCAUUCAACUUCUUUACAAGUUGAAACAAGUGCUAUAAACUCAACUACUAUUGUUGAAUCAGUGGCACGUGUUUGUUUCUUAGAACCCCAAGAAACCGCGCCACCACCUAACAUAAAGAUCCAACUAUUCGUUGAUGGGUGAUCAUCUUUAUUAGUGAUCCAACUAGUAUCUGAAAAUCUUUCUAAAAUUGAAGGAUAACUGGUAUAAUAUAUACCAUAGUUCUUGAUGGCUUUCAAGUACUUCAAAAUUCUGAUUGCACCUUACCAAUGUAACCUAUUAGGAUUACUUGUAUAUCUACUUAAUAUAUCAAUAGCAUAUACAAUAUCCGGUCUAGUAUAUGUCAUUUCAUAUAUUAAGCAUCCUAUAACUUUGACAUAUUCUAAUUAAGAAAUUGGAUUCCCUUCAUUUUUUACAUAGCUAAUUUUGUGAUCCAAUGGCAUUGAAACUGGUGUUGGAUUCUUAAUCCAACAUUGGACUUAUAUGUGAAUAAUUAUGUAUUGCAAACUGUCAAUUAAGGUUAAACCCAAUUAAAGUGAUCAAAUAUAGUUUGGGUUUAAUGUAUCUAAUAGGAUGUGGAUCUUUAAUGUGUAGAGACUUUAGGGCUCCUAUUUCUAUAAUGGGCUGAAAUAGGGCUCCAAAAGGUAACAAAAUGUUACCUAUAAAUAGGGUUAUGAUCCCCAGGUCACAGGUAUCAUUUUAGUUGUCGUAUUUCCUAAUACCACAAAAUAGCUCUUCCCUGAUAUCCCAUCGUCAGGAAAGAUACCAGAGAGAAACUAAAGGCUUCUCUCAAAGGAUCGGUGAAUACCUGUUGACCUGGAAGGCCAUCCCAAAAUCUCUAGAGAUUCAAGCGUCAAAUUUAUUAAUAUGGAUUCAGGUACGCUUCCGCUAUUUUAUAGUUAAUUUAUUUCUUAAUAAUCGCCAUAUAGAUUUUGUGGUUCAAAGGUGAUGGUUUUCACCAAUGGUUAAAUUUAGAUAACCACCCUAAUAAGUGGUAUCAGAACCUAUAUGGUUGAUUGUUAGGAAAUAAUUUGUGGUCUUUGAUAGUUUUAUCUUAAAGAUUGUAAAUUAUGAAUGGUGUCCUACUCCUGUUUCUGUUGUAAAGAAUCGGUCAGAGAAAAAAAAAAAAAAAAAAAGGGGUUUUGCUUGUUCCGAAAAAAUUGGCCAAUUGUUGUGAUUCUUAAGUUUAUUUGUAUCCAGUAGGUUUGUUUGAUAUAAUGGCCGAUUGACCUUUACAUCUGGAGUAUUUGACUUAGCAUACUAUGACUACUUGGCACAUAUUUCGGGAUCUUAAUUAAUUGUGUAGUAGUUACCCUUUUCUUAUCUCAAAUAGAAAGCCGAAACAGAAAGCAAAAACAUGCAAGACCAUGACUUUCUAGUGGGUCAUUGUCUUGCUAUGCUAAAAGCCGAAAGCCAGAAUAGUUUCUUUUGCUGUGACUUUUCAUUACGUCUUUGGUUAUUUGUUGUGAUGUUUAGUUGACCGAUUCAUUGUCUAUGAAUCCAAAUUGAUAUUCAAUAUGAUCCCUUGUAGCUCAAUUGUUUAUAAUUGGAUUCUUUGGCUGGUUUCCUUGCUCAUCGAUAUUUAUAUUUAUGUUAAAGAAAUUAGGGUUUCUUUAAUUUAAGUGAACCCUAAUAAAGUUAGAUAAGAUAUUUAAGCCCUAUUAAAGUUCAUAUAUUUGGCCCAUUAAAUAUAUAGUUUUAUAAAGUGCUUAUGGACUUCAAGAAUAAAUUGGGCUUGAAUAAUAAAUUGGGUCAAAUUAUGGAUAUGAACCUUGGAUCCAAUAAGUUUUGAUCCAAUUGAUUGGUUUGAUCAAAGUUGACCAAAGUUGACUUUGAUCAAAAUUUUUUAUUUAAUUUGGAUAAUUUUAAAUUUGAAUAUUGGUAUGAUUAUAUAUAUUUUGGAAUAAAUUAAUUGAAAUAAUAUGCCACCAAAGUGACCUCUAUUAUAGAAAUUAAUUUAUUUUAAAAUAUAACUAGUUGGGUACUAGUAAUUUUAUGAAUAUUGAUUGGCCCAAAGGAAGGUCAAUAUUUAAUGAAGUUACAUGUGCACUUGUGGUAAUAAAUACAUGAUAAUUAUUUGAAUUUUACAUGUGAUUUAUAAAUUGGCCCAAAGAAAAAUUUAUUUUUGACAUGUUAUUAUUAUCAGUAUUUAUUACUGCACCAAGAUAUCACUUAGAAAUUAAUAUUUUUGUCCAAAGAUAAAAUAUUAAUGGAAUAUCGAUAUCUUGAGAUGGGGUUACCUUUAUUUAAAUUUAUUAUUAUUUUGGUUUAUGUGAGUUUGUUUUAAUUAUUUUAUGUUUUCUGUUCAGUUGUGAAUGAUCUUACAAAUAUUACUUCCAACAUCAAUAAUAUUCCUAUGUUGAAUGGCACAAACUUCAAGUCCUGGAAAGAAAAUCUCUUGAUAGUAUUUGGAAUAAUGGAUCUCGACCUUGCGUUAAGGAUUGAUUCUCCCCCACCUCUUACAGAUCAGAGUACCUCUGAUGAAAAGAGAAAUAAUGAAAGGUGGGAGAGAUCAAAUCGCUUGUGUCUGAUGAUCAUUAAAAAGGCCGUUCCAAAAGCAUUCAGGGAAACAAUGUCAGAAACGACUGUAGCCGCUAAAGAGUUCUUUCAAGACAUUGAAAAAAGGUUUGUCAAGAAUGAAAAGGCUGAAAUUAGUACGCUCUUGACACGCCUAAUUUCAAUGAAAUAUAGUGGUAAAGGCAAUAUCAGAGAGUAUAUCAUGAAAAUGUCUCAUCUUAUUUCGAAAUUAAAUGCACUUAAGUUGAAACUCUCUGAAGAGUUACUAGUGCAUUUGAUUUUAAUAUCUCUUCCUACACAGUUUAACCAGUUUAAGGUGAGUUAUAACUGUCAAAAGGAGAUUUGGUCUCUAAAUGAACUCAUCUCACACUGUGUAGAGGAAGAGAAAAGGUUGAAGUAAGAGCAAACAGAAAGUGUCUAUCUGGUGUCAACCACUAAUAAUAAAAGUAAGGGAUUUAAAAGAAAGAAGGAAAAAAGAGCUGCAGGUACAGCGCCACCAAAGAAACAACAAAAGAAAUCAAAUGAUCAGGGAAAGAAUAGUUUUUUCUUCUGUGGAGCUGAAGGACAUCAAAAGAAGUAUUGCACCAACUAUCACGCUUGACGUGCUAAGAAAGGUAUGCUUUUUAAUUUGGUUUGUUCUGAGGUUAAUUUAACUUCGAUAUCUAGACACACAUGGUGGUUAGAUUCUGGUGCAACAACUCACAUCAGUGUGUCUAUGCAGGGUUGCCUGAAUUGCCGAAAGCCUAAUGAUAAUGCAAGAUGUAUCUACGUGGGCGAUGGCAAAACAGUUCAAAUUGAGGCAAUUAGAGUUUUUAGAUUAUUGUUAAAAAUCAGAUUUUAUUUGGAUCUCUAUGAGACAUUUGUUAUACCGUCUUUUAGAUGAAAUUUAAUUUCUAUUUCUGCUUUGGACAAAUUUAGUUAUUUUUGUUCAUUUUGAAAUGAAAAAUUUGAAUUGUUUCAUGAUUCAAAAUUGAUUGGUUCUGGUUCUUUAAUGUAUUACGAUAAUCUAUAUUUAAUUGAUACGAUCGCCUCAUUUAAUGAAUCUCUGCAUUUGAGUACUAGAGGAGUUAAAAGAAAAUUAGCCAAUGAGAAUUCAACUGCAUUAUGGCACAAGAGAUUUGGACAUAUCUCCAAACGGAGAAUGGAAAGGUUUGUGUUAAAUGAAAUUCUCGACCCCUUGAAUUUUACAGAUUUUAAUGAUUGUAUUAACUGUAUAAAGGGGAAACAAACCAAUAAAAGGAGAUUUGAAGCCAAUAGGUCCUUAGACGUCUUAGAACUUAUACAUGCAGAUAUUUGUGGACCAUUUCCUACAUCUGCUUGGAAUGGUCAACAAUAUUUUAUAACGUUCAUAGAUGAUUUUUCAAGAUAUGGCUACAUAUAUCUCAUUUCAGAAAAAUCACAGUCACUCUUGACGUGUUCAAAACUGAAGUUGAGAAUCAACUCAACAAAAGAAUUAAAAGCUCCAGAUCUGACCGUGGUGGUGAAUACUAUGGUAGAUAUGACGGUUCAGGUGAACAACGUCCAGGACCAUUUGCUAAAUACCUAGAGGAAUGCGGUAUCGUCCCACAGUACACUAUGUCGGGUUCACCCACUAUAAAUGGUGUAACUGAAAGAUGAAAUAGAACGCUUAAAGACAUGGUAAGGAGUAUGAUUUGUCAUUCUACUUUACCAGAGUCACUUUGAGGAUGUUGAGUUUGGGGAAGAAAAUACAGUAAGGGACAUUGUCUUUAAAGAGGAAUACAUUGAUAUUCCCAUAGGUGUCAUUGCUCUUGCUCAGGACCCUAUUCCUGAACUUGAUCAUGAUAUAACAAAUCAAGACAAUAUCGAAGAGCAAACUGUUAUAGAAGAACAAACUCUUCCUCUCCAAGAACCAGUGCCAUUAAGAAGAUCCACUAGAGAAAGGAGAAGUGCAGUGCCAGAUGAUUACAUUAUUUUUCUCCAAGAACAUGAGAAUGACUCUGGAUUGAUGGAAGAUGAUCCAAUCAACUUCCGUCAAGCCAUGGAAAGUUCAAAUUCUCAAAAGUGGAUCGAUGCUAUGAAUGAGGAGAUUAAAUCCAUGAAGAACAAUGACGUUUGGAAUCUUGUCCCAUUGCCAGAAGGAGCGAAAUCCAUUGGUUGUAAAUGGAUAUUUAAAAUCAAAAGAGAUUCGAAAGGCAAUGUGAAAAGAUACAAAACUCGUCUUGUCGAUAAAGGAUUUACACAAAAAGAAGGUAUCGACUAUAAAGAAACCUUCUCUCCAGUCUCUUUAAAGGACUCUUUUAGAAUUUUCAUGGCACUAGUGGCGCAUUUCGAUCUUGAUUUACAUCAGAUGGAUGUAAAGACAGCGUUUCUCAAUGGUAACAUUGAUGAAACGAUUUAUAUGGUGCAACCAGAAAGUUUUGUAUCAGGAGAUCCAAAAAAUAUGGUUUGCAAACUUAAAAAAUCCAUCUAUGGGUUCAAACAAGCGUCUCGACAAUGGUAUUUCAAAUUUCAUCAAUUGAUCACCUCAUUUGGUUUUGAGAUGAAUUUAGUAGAUGAUUGCAUAUACCAUAAGUUCUGUGGGAGCAAGCAUAUUUUUCUGGUAUUGUAUGUUGAUGACAUUUUGCUUGCCAGCAACGAUAUUGAUCUAUUGCAUGAAAUCAAGAAAUUUCUGACUAAGAAUUUUGAGAUAAAAGAUCUUGGUGAUGCAUCUUUUAUGCUAGGUAUACAAAUAUACCGAGAUCGAUCUCAGGGUAUUUUAGGAUUAUCACAAAAGGGCUAUAUCGAAAAAUUUUUCAAAAGAUAUGCCAUGCAAAAUUGUAAAUCAAGUGACACUCCCGUGGCUAAAGGAGACAAAUUUAUUCUUGAACAGUGUCCUAAGAAUACUUUUGAGGAAAAAGAGAUGCAAAAGAUUCCUUAUGCAUCAGCAGUAGGGAGUCUAAUGUAUGCUCAAGUAUGUACGCGUCCUGAUAUUGCGUACAUUAUUGGGAUGUUGGGUAGAUAUUUGAGUAAUCCUGGAUUAAAUCAUUGGAAAGCAACCAAACGGGUCUUACGGUAUUUACAGAAAAUAAAAGAUUACAUGCUCACGUGUCGGAAGUCAAAUGAGUUAGAGAUCGUUGGGUAUAUUGAUUCCGACUAUGUUGGAUGCCAAGAUACUAUGAAAUCAACGUUAGGUUAUGUGUACUUGUUGGUUGGAGGUGCUAUAUCUUGGAAGGAUGCUAUAUCCUGGAAUAGUGCUAAACAGUCCCUCAUAGCAUCUUCCAUUAUGACUGCAGAGUUUAUAGCUUGUUAUGAGGCAUCCAAUCAAGGAAUUUGGCUGUGAAAUUUUGUCACAGGAUUACGUGUAGUGAAUAGUAUUGAACAACCUCUCAAAUUAUUUUGUGACAAUAAAUCAGCAGUCUUAUAUUCCAAUAAUAACAGGAGUUCGACGAAAUCUAAACAUAUAGAUAUCAAGUUCCUGGCUGUUAAACAAAGAGUACAGAGUGGACAGUUAUCGAUAGAGCAUAUCGGGACAAACUCCAUGGUUGCGGAUUCGCUUACUAAGGGAUUGUCACCCAAAAUGUUUUAUGAGCAUACUACUCAUAUGGGUGUCGUGUUAUUAAAUGAUGUACAGUUUUAGUGGGAGCUUGUCAUUUUAAAUGCUCUUAUGAUAUUUUUCAGUUAUUAAGGAUUUAAGGAUAUUUUAUGCAUAAAUAAAGUUUGGAUUUAUUUACACUCUGACUUUUGUAUGGUUUGAUCUCAUGAAAAUUUAAGGUGGACCAGUUGAAAAUAGGCAUGUUUUGAUCACAUUACAUGAAAUUUUCAUACUACACAUUCACAUCAUGAUUCAUGUCAUUCAAUUGCAUCAAUGUAUGUGACCAUUGAUGGGUCGAGUUACGAUAUUGUAACAAAGGCCGCUUUGAUCCUAUAUUGGUGUAAUUGAUGGACCGAAUUGGUUACAGAUACAUUGUGAUAAUGACAGUAAAGUUGAGCUCAUACGGUUAAUUGCAAAACAUAAUUAUAAGGUUACACAUAUAGUCCAAGUGGGAGAUUGUUGGAUCCUUAAUCCAACAUUGGACUUAUAUGUGAAUAAUUAUGUAUUGCAAACUGUCAAUUAAGAUUAAACCCAAUUAAAGUGAUCAAAUAUAGUUUGGAUUUAAUGUAUCUAAUAGGAUGUGGGCCUUUAAUGUGUAGAAACUUUAGGGCUCCUAUUUCUAUGAUGGGCUGAAAUAGGGUUCCAAAAGGUAACAAAAUGUUACCUAUAAAUAGGGUUAUGGUCCCCAGAUCACAGGUAUCGUUUUAGUUGUCGUAUUUUCUAAUACCACAAAAUAACUCUUCCCUGAUAUCCCAUCGUCAGGAAGGAUACCAGAGAGAAACUAAAGGUCUCUCUCAAAGGAUCGGUGAAUACCUGUUGACCUGGAAGGUCACCCCCAAAUCUCUAGAGAUUCAAGCGUCAAAUUUAUUAAUAUGGAUUCAGGUACGCUUCCGCUAUUUUAUAGUUAAUUUAUUUCUUAAUAAUCGCCAUAUAGAUUUUGGGUUCAAAGGUGAUGGUUUUCACCAAUGGUUAAAUUUAGAUAACCACCCUAACAACUGGCACACAAUCACUUUGAUUGUUGGCUUCUCUUGCUACCUUGAGACUUGUUAGAUUGCCUCUCUUCAAUCACAUGUACUUUUGUAAUAGAGUCUUUAUAUUCUUCAAGGGUCUUGAUGAUGAGGGAACUUUUGGUCCUACACUGACAAUGUAUACACUGUCAGCGUUGGAUGAAAAAUCUAUUUUGAUAACUACCCACUACCAAUAUAAUUUUUUACCAAGUAAUAUGUAUUUUUUCUUAUUAUAUUUUUCAACUUAUUCUUUAAAUAUUAAUUUUAAUUAGCAACUACCAAUUAUGGAAUUAUAAAUAUAACAUAGAUAAUUAUAAAUUAUAUAUAUUAUUAUAUAUUUUUUACAUAUAUAAUUAUACUCAUAUAUGCGUCGGGUUUUAAUCAAAUUUGAGUCUAGUAUGAUCCAAACUCGACUUACAUUUAGUUCGAACCUAAUAUUUGAACCCAAACUCUGUCCGGCCUAAUUAAAAAUUUAAAACAUAGGCUCAGUGAUCUUUUUUUUAGCCUAACGGGCCAAACUCGAACUAAUCCGAUCCCAUUGACAGUCCUACUCAAAAUCUCGCUCUUAAAGCCUCCACCUAAGUCGUUUGCUAAUACUGAGUUUGUUUGGAUUGCAUAUUAUUUAUCAAAUUUUAUUUGCUUGUAUCAUCAAUAUAUUUUUUUAAUCACCUUUUAUUUUACAUAUAUCACAUCAAAUUAACUUGAUUAACCUAGAUUAAAUAUAUUGUGCUAAAAAUUGACUUCGUUGAAGUGCAUGCUACUAUAUCUUUUCUUAAAUCAUCACACACAAAAAGCUAGUGAAGAAAGCAGCCAUAUGCAUGCAACAAAUAUUUAUAGUAUAAUUCCUUACAUUUUUUUCCUUUUUCCUUUUUUGGUUAUCGAAAUGCUUUGAUGAAUUAGUACUAAAGCUACAUAUGACAAAUGAAUAUUCGGUACUAUACAUCUUCUUAAAAGAAUAAAUAAUUUGACAAUAAAAUUGAAAGUGUAAGUUUUUUAUACACUGUCAGUGUAUAAUUUUUUUUUUCAUACUAGCAAGUUUGGAUCACAUCACAUAAUAUGAAUUUAAAUUAUGCACAUAUAAAAUACAUCAAUAGUUGUGAUUGCGAAAAAUCACUACAAAGGAUAAUCCUAACUGAAAUGUGCAAUAAACUUUUCUAAAAAUCCUUUGGCAAAUUUUAUCUUUUUAUAGAAAAUAAAACUCGACACAACAGAGCACCAACCCAAAAACAAAAACAAAACAAAAAAAAAACUCAGAUGGAAUACUCAUGAUGUUUUAGUAAUUUUUUAUUCUUAGAUUAGAGAUAGUACAAGACGACAUGCAUUAUUAGUAUGGCAAAUGGGGAAAAAUACCAAAAAAUUAACCUUUUUAAAUGGGUAAAUCAGCAAAUUCUUUAUACUCUUCAAAAGAAAUUGAAAAAAAAGGUAAAUAAGCCCCAUAUUACCCACAAGUCCAAACCGGCCUUCUUCAUCUUUUUCUUCCAGAAAAAUCAGCCAUGGCGAGUGGCUCCAGAAAACAUUUUCAAUUCCAUUUCUUCUUUUUAUUAGAGACCACAUUCUCAUCCUCUACCUAUAGCGAGUUCAGUGGCCACUUGGUGAAUUUUCUGUUUGCAAACAUGGAGGAACUUUCAUAUUCUUCCGCACAAUCUUGCAUGUUAAAUAAUAAUAUGUAUUGAAACAUCUAAGGAAUAUUGAAAAUGACAACAAAAUCCACAAUCUAAACCGUUAACUUCAUCAACCAAAUAGCAGGAUUAAAAAAAUGAAUUGUAGAAUUUCUCAGCUAGGGAAAUUAGCACGUCCGCAUAUAAAACUUUUUCCCAUGGGAAUAAGCUUCAGCACAGCAGGGAACAGUUCUGAAGCAUAAAUGCUCAAGAUAUUCUGAAAGAAGCUAACAUAAAUCUACUGAGACAAUGGAUGACAAGUUUAUAGUAUACUCCAAGGGACUAGAAGAGCUUAAUUCCAAUUCAACAUUGUUCUUUUUCAUUUUAACCCCCCAAGAAUUUAGCUCAUUUGCAAAUUAAUACACCUUCACAAUUUUUUUUUCUUUUUUUUUGUGAAGAAAUAUUACAUCUAAACACUUUUUUUGCCCUUUUUCUUAUCAAGAUUUGCAUAGAAAAGACACCUCUUUGCUCAACAUUUUCAAUUUGUCACCCCACCCUCAAUUAAAAAAAAAAAAAAUCCAUAUUCAGGUGAACCCUAUUUACGCAUCCGCAUGAAGACCAAUUCCAAAUUCUGCAUCCUUUAGACACUUUAUUCUACUCUAUGUCGCUCGCCAAAUAUGAAAUAAAUUUUAGGCCAAAACAAGCAUGAGAGGUGAAAGGAAAAGUAAAUUAUGAAACAAUUGGUCCUGGUUUCUCCCAUUUGCACCCAAAGAACGCCAAGGGAAAAAAUUACAAGCAAGAUCAUGCUCAAACAGGAGAACUUUGAUGCUUGAAAUCUGAGAUAGAUGCACACGAGGAUGACAAAAUUACAGCAGUAAACGAUGAAGAUAUGUAGACAAAGUUUGAAAAGUUUGAACCAAUUACAGUAGCAUUCUAGUACAACUGAGUUACUAUGGUUAUUAAUUAUAUUAAAAUGGAUGGAGGCAAACAACUGAAGUCAAUAAUACAUGCUAUAAUUACGUUUUUAUUCUCUCGUGUUUUGCCCAAGCGUCUAGCCCUGUUUAAGUAAAGCAGGCAGCAGUUAGAUAGAAGCAUCAAGGGAGACAUCUGCAUCACUGUAUUCUGGUACCAGAUUCCUGGAUGAAGGUGUUCCUGCAAGCACUUCUGCUUCAAUGCCGCACUCAUUUGUUCCCCGUCUGAUCUUGAAGUAUCCGUCCUGCCAAUCAAGAAGACAGCAAAGUGAAAAAGGACCUUAUUUUGUCAGAUUAAAGCAACAACCUAAAGAACUAGAUACAGAGCUUACUUCGCCCCAGCUUCUAUUCCACUCGUUUGCAAUUAGCUGUAUCAGAAAAAGUAGUAAUUUUACUCCCUAUUCAGGAAGAGUUGCAUUGGAGAAUAAAAAAUCUCUAAGGAGAACAAAUUAAUAUACCCAGUAAUCCUCCCCGUCAUCGCUGGUACCCCAUCCAAUCAGCUUUACAGAAUGGCCACCAAUUGUACCACCUAUUGUGUGUUUGUAAACACCAGAACGAUAAUGGGCAAAGUCCUGUGUUUCACGGGAAAUAGAAGUACAGUUACAAUUUUUACAAGCAGAAAUACCCGAAGUAUGAAAUUAAACAAAUCGGGGACUGAGAAAUGAUGAUAUUCACAUAUAGAAUCUUUUAAUCUUAAGAAGUAUUUCUAGUUUCUUUCAAAAAAGGCAAUAUUUGGACAAAUAACCCAGAAAGAGACUCAACAAUUGUGGAAGCUUAGGCGUUAAGUGGAUGUUUAGUAUGUGUACGAGGGAUUUUCGUUUUCAGAAAACUCUCAUACUUGAUUUUCUCUUUUUCUAUUCCACAGGUUGUCUGUAAAAUUUACAGUUGACAUCUAGCAUGUUUUCCCCAUAAUCAUAUGGAUUUUGUGUGUUGAAUUUGAACAUCGUACUAAACUUAACGCUCCUAACAUUUUUCCAUUUAGAAUUUAAUAGUUUAACAAUCUUAACUCACAAAUUUCAAAUGCUAGACGCACCUGAUACACUAAAAACUAAUUAGGACCGGCAACUUAGAAAGUAUAUGUUUUGGAAUAGUCCAGUCUAGAAUAGCCAAACCAGUAUACAAAUACCAUAAUUAAGACCCAAGCCAUUACCCAACUUUAUGUCUAUUGUCCAUACAUUAUAGAUUUACUUUUAUAUGUGUGUUAAUAUUGCUCAUCUGCAUAUCAAUCGCAAAUUUCCCGAAUUGUUUUGAUCUAUAUUCAUGAAAUAGCAUGUUCCAUUCUUGAGGCACCCUAAACAAGACAGCAGUUCAGAUGAAAAUAGGGCAACACAUCUGCAUCUUCCGAACAGGCUUUGAAUAAAAAAGCAUCAUAUAGAGAAGCAUAUUAAAUUUCCGAAAAUAUUCGUCUAGAUAAAUAUGGAUCAGAACUUUAAAUUCCUUUAAUUUUGUCUUUACCUCAUGAACAAUGAAUGAGACCUCAACUGGUCCAUUUUUAUAUACUUCUGCCAUGAUACUCUGUGGAUCAGAACUUAUUCUGUAGGCAUUGAUGCUAAAAUGCUUUGACUUACUCCACAGCAAGUUCUCUUUAACACACUUCUUAAUGCACUUUGGGGUGGGAUAUUCACCGCAACCAGGGUGAGAACAUCCAGUGUUAUCAAAGUAAGGGUCACACUGCGAUAAAAAAAUUCAAAACCUGAGAUUCAAAUUGCUAGAGAAGACUUUCAUAUAAUAAUAGAAGAAGCAUUAUUUACCUCUUCAGUCACAACACCAGAGUAUGUAAAGUAUUCCCAAGCAGCAAAAGGACUACCACCAUAACAGCCAUCACCACACGAGAAGCCACAGCACGCAAGGACAUCGUUAACAGAAAGUGAAACAUUCUGCAAAACAACAACUACAUCCCUUUGGUCUACAGACAUAAGAAAAAAAGUGUGUAAAUUUUGUUCAUCAUGACAGUGUUUUACCAUGCCAAACUGUAUGCAGAAACGAUCAGAGAGUGAUUCAACCGCACCAAAUGCCCAACAAGAACCACAAUGUCCCUGACAAACCAACAUGUAAAUUGGUUUAGAAGUGGAAUUUAAUGCUUGAUCCAAAAACUGGAAGUGCAUGAAUGUUGGUAAAAUCAAGUCACCUGAUCUUGAGAAUGUGAAGCCAUUUCAACGGAUUGCAUUUCAAAAGGAAAAAAUUAGCAUCUUUCAUAAACAUUAUCAGUAAAUAAAUUCAAGCAUGCAUGUGACUGACCAAGAAUUCUCCCAAUAGUGCCACAUUGAGGCCAAGCUGUUCGUGCAUCAAACUGGUCGGGCAACUUCAGAUCUCUAGGAUGAGUUACAACCCGAGUGCUCUCCAGAACACCCUUUGGUGUUGGUUUGACUCCAAGAAGAUGCUUAAAUUGGCCAACCUGUCAAGAAAUUACAAGUAUAUUUACAAAGUUUCCUUCUUCUUUCUUUUAUGUCAAAGUGGAGGCACAUGUAUCUAUUUAUCUUCUAUUUUUUCUUUCUCUCUUUCAGGGGGCAGGGAGGGUUUAAAUGUGCAUGGUGGUACUCACAGUGUAAUCUGAAAACCGAGGACUCAUUUCAGCUGUCCAUCCAGCUGUGGAAUUACUAUUAAUCCUCGCAACAAUGGAAUCCUGUAUGUUCAUUUCAUAUCAGACAACUCCAUUACAUUGUAGUUAAACCUCAAAAAAGAUGUAGGGAGAAGGCAAUAUGUCAAUUAAGCCCAAGAGUACCUGCAGAAUCUUAGAAUCAUGUUUAAGCUGAGAAUUUGAUGCUUCGGCAUGGACCUGCCACCAUAGAAGUUGCUUAAGUCAUACAGUGCAAACCAUUUUGUAUCGUGAAAGAAAGUUAAUGUAGUGCCUCUCUCUCUCUCUCUCUCUCUCUCUCAAUUGAUGGUUCCGCAUAAACCUGCUUACCACAGAGGUUGAAUGAGCCAUACAAUGUAAACAUUUUAUAUUGUUAACAAAGAUAACGUAGCAGUCUCACUCUCUCUCACACAUAUGAUGCUUCUACAUAAACCUUCUUACAGAGAGGUUGUAUAAAUUAUACAAUGUAAAAACCAUUCUAUAUUGAGAAAAAAAGUUAAUCCAGCUAACGUAGCCUUCUCUCUCUCUCUCUCUCUCUCUCUCUCUCUCUCUCUCGAUAUAUAUAUAUAUCUCUCACAUAUGAUGCUUCCGCAUAAAUCUUCUUACCACAGAGGUUGUACAAAUUAUGCAAUGUAAACCAUUUUGUACUCUCCCUCCCCCCUCCCCCCCAACCCAAGAACUGUAGAGCUUCAGAACCUAAGGUCAUAGUGAGAUAAGUAAAUGAUCCUAGGUCAUAAAAGUCCAUGCAACCGAUGACUGUUAAGUGUCAGCCCAGGAAAAGAGUAUGACGCAGGGAAGCAAAAAGGAUAAGAAUCAAAACUAGCAUCCAGACAAUUUACAUUAAUGCAGCAUGCUGAAUUAGUGAUUUUAUGACUUGAAGGACUAUUUUCUUUCUUUUAUAGCAUGUUUCUUAAUGUAGCUUUAACAAGAAGCUAUGGAAUAGAAAGUCCUGAGGUACAGUGAAUGUAGGUGCUCAAGGUUACAGCGGUACUUUUCACUUUCCAGCUUCUUUAUCUCAAACAAGAAUGAGCACUGAUGUAUAAAACUAGCAGAAGCAUAAUUUGAAAGAGAAAAUGCUAAACAAGCUUUAAUAAUGCUAGAAAAGUUACUUUGGCUUCUACAGUUUCAUCAUAAAUGUGCACAAAAUCAUAUUUGAAACCAAUAUAAAGGUCAAAAUUUUCUCUUCUUAAGAAUGUCCAAUAUUAAGAGAUAAGAAAAAUAAACACAAAAUAACUGACCCGUUGACAACGUUUAAAAAAAGAAAAGUUACUAAGGAGAUUGAUGCUGGCCAAGUUGAAGGCUACUAACUUAUUCUUGUUGGAUUCCAUUUAAACCCAAAGAAAAAUGCUUUUGCAUUCUCUUUUUGGUAUCGGUGCACAAAAGUGACAGAAGUUUGUUGGCAAAUUGCAGUAGGAUACAACAACAAAGGAUGAGAAGUAAUUCUAAAGGCAGCCCUACACCUACUAGUGACUCAACUAGAAAAGACUUCAAUCCAAUUUCCAAAGGAAGAAGAUUUCACCAGGAUAAAAAAUUGAUCCCUAUACACUAAUGGAAUCAGCUUCUCUCCAAUAGAACCAAAAUAUGACAAUCAAAAUGGAUAGUCAAAAGAUCCUCCCUUGUUCAAGUUUCCAAAAAUCCUAGUGAUUUACCUUCAUGAGCACAAGUAAAGAUGUAUCAUGUGUGACAUUCUGUCUGAAACAUUGACUAAUCAAUCAUUCGUUUGAGAUAACAAGGAAUCAGAUAUUCACAGUUAUGUCAGUGCAUAUUGAUAAUUUGCCAAAAAGGAAGAAGUGAUAAUGGAACUGCAGUUUAGUAGAUAAAAAGUUAGCUAGAAGCCUGAAAACAUUGCCCUUUUUUUUGGCAACAAGGGGAAAGGAACUUGAUUAACGCUGAUACAUCCAUCAAUGCUUAUGUUUCUUAGAAAUCAAUCCUUUUAACAAUGUCUCGUAAUCCAGGAUGACACGGUAAAAUUCCAAAGAACAGCAGCAAAAAUCACAAAAUGAUGAUACUAAACAAACCUCCAGCUGGAAAGUUAGCAUAGCACCAAAAAGUAGUAGGGCCGUGAUGUAAAUCCCAGCCAUGGCCGUUUCCUUACUUGAAGCUGUUUCUAAACUUGAAUCCGCUGACACUCUGGUUCAAAGUUUAAUUUGUUCAACUGCUCAAACAGCCCAUGGAAAACAACAAAUAGGUAAGCAUGACUUUAACUAAAUACACGGAAUUAGCAUACAAGUAAUGUUAAGAAUUUUAGAAAUCAACCAAAAACAUUGCACAUUCAUCUUCUGCUGCUGUUGCUGCUUCUUUUUUGUGAAAAAUAAUGCCUCAUAAGCAUGAUACCAUUAUUAAAAGCAAACUCAUAUUAAUUCUCAAAAACAACAUAACCAUCAACUCCUGUAUUAUAAUUAGUAAGUAUCACCUGAAAUAGAAAACCAAAUUCCACCUCAUAUCUAACCAAGACCAAACAGAAUAUCAAUAUGGAACAGUCCAGACAUAUCAUCUCAAGAAUUAAACAGAAGCAAAUAACCAAGUUCUACUUUUGACAAUAAAUACGACCUUAAAAGAACAUGACAACCUAAUUCCACCACUAGCAAAAUAUAGCCAAAGCAAGUAUCGAUCCAAAAAGAGAAAAAAUUGAUCUUUGACUAACGCAUAUGGUUCCAAUGACGCGUUCCUCAUAGUUUGUAGGAUAAUACUUCAUCUUAACGUACACCACAAUCGACCAAAAUCAUCACUAGAAUCUUAAAAAUAGUUCGGCCCUUUGGUCAAACUGGGAAACUUGAAUCACUAAAUUCUACUACAUCUUUCAAGAAUUGCAGAAAAAUAAAAUUACCUCCCAAAGAAAAAACAAAAAACUUUUUCCAUUUGCUUGAUUGUCAUAGCUUCAUACUUCAAAAUUCCAAAAAAGCCAAAAAGUAAAAAAGAAGAGUAAAAGAAGCAAAAAAGAUGAGAUAUAUUACUUUUAACAAAAAGAUUUGAAUACAAAAUCUGAUUUUUUCUGUGCAAGAAUAUUAAGCAAAGGAGAAAAUGAGUAGGCUAAUGAGAAGAACAUACCUAGGAGAAGGUGAUAAUUCUCCCUUGUCGGAAUGAGGGGUUGACGAUGAAAGUGGUAGAGAAGUGCAAGAGAGACAAGGCACUGGGAGAAAGUAGUGGCCCUUUGGCCCCUUUUAAUCUAUCUUGCAGAAAUUGGGUCGCAGAUGGGACGGGAUGGGGUGGCGCCAUGGUGGGUGGCAAACAUUUGACUGUUGGGAGCGGGAGGGACCGCAGCAUUUAACUAUCCGGUACGAAUGGAUGAAGCUAAUUGGUGAAGCGCAUGUUACACAUUUUUUCACUAAUCAGCGUGUUACACAACACAUAUUUUCUUCAAACUUAGCUAUCAGUUUGUCCAUUAGUUGUUUUUUCUUGUCCAAAAGUUCAAUGUGCCGUGUGGUUUCUUGAUACCUUAGUUUGAUUUAUAUGGGAAACACUUGAGUAGGUUCAGCUGGUGACACACUUGAUUUUUGUGUCUAACUUCGGCACCUUGGGUUGAGGGAAUGGAAGGUGAAGGAAAGGAGGGAAAUCGGAGGGAUUUGCCUUUUGUUAUUUGGAUUGAUUUUUAAGAAGGGAAAGGAAAGGAUAUGGAGGGAAAUGGAAGAGAAAGACAAGUUAUUUUAUUGAAUUAUAAAUUAACACAUGAUCUUUUCCCUUCCUUUCUUUUCCUUCUUCAAUCCAAACUAAAAUUUAGUAUUUCUUUUAUUUCCUUCCAUACUUAAUUCAAAUAAUAUCAAUGAAACCACUUUCCUUUACUCUCUUUUCCUUUCUUUUCUAUUAGUAUCCUGUCCCUUCCCCUUCCUUCCUUUCCUUCAAUCCAAAUGGUGAGUAUUUUUUUUGUGAAAUAUAAUUUUGCAUUUUAUACAAAAGAUUGUUCUUAUUAAGUUAAAAAUAAGAUUGUUUUGUUUUUACAUUUUUUUCAUUUUAAAAAUUUUAAAAAUUUUUCAGAAGUGCAUAGUUCUAAUUAGUUCCACAAGUAUUGCACACAACUAUAUUGAGAGAUGUUUUAAGACAAAUUAGAAGCUUGGAAUUACAUGAAAAAAUAAUAUGAUGAUAAAAAGUGAGACUUCUUUUUCCUCAAAAAAUAAAAGUGAGACGUUCAUACACUAUAAUUGUAUAGACACAAGUAUGUUUAAUCACAUAUCUAAUACCACAACAAGGAAGAAUUUUGGAGACCAAGUGAAGGAAAUUGUUUUCUUUUCUGUUUUGUCUUUACUUUGGAUUUUGGGAUGAGGUUGUUAUGUUAACUUUGUAGCUUAAGAUUCAUUUUUUUCUAGUGGUUAUGGAAAAACAUCAUCGCAUAGGAGAGAGACCAAAUCUGGUCUUUCCCCAUGGGAGGAACUAUUCUUUAUAAUUUUUAGUUUCUCUUAUUUGAACAAGAAUUCUCUUCUAGGAUUUCUUAAUAAGAGAUUCUUCUUUUUUAGGAUCUCCUUGAGAGUUUCUUCUCUUAUAUAUCUAGUGAGACUUUUAUUCUCUUCUGGAUUUUUUCUUGUGAGAGUUUUUAAAGUUUUUAUCUUUGUAAAAUUUGAGAUUUUGUAGAUCUAGAAUCUAGUUUUUUAGAUCUACAAUUUCUCCAUUAUUGUCAUAUCUAAAUUUCUCUUUGGACUUGAACCAAUUUUAAUCAGAUCUGAUUGUCAACAGACAUGCACGGAUGUAUUGGAUUACAGUGAUUCAUGUGGAUGGAAGAUAUAUAUAGAAGCAUCAAUUUUAUUUUUAUUUGUAUUGUUUUCUUAGAUCUGUUAUAUUUAUUGAUUUCAGAUCUAUAUGUAUUUGUGUCAUAUUUAUUUGAUAUAUUUUCUACCAUUAAUGCAGAUUUGUUUGAAUGAAAUUAUCUUUUCUAUUAAAAAAAAUGGAAAAAGAUCCAGCUUCGUAACAAUAAAAUUGAGGUUAUCAAUUUAAUUCCUCUUAUUCUUUUGGUAAUUUGAGAAAAGAUUAGAGAAAGUAAAGUAAAAUAGCCUUUUCUUGCUAUUUAGUUAAAUGUGACUUAUUAUAUAAAAUCUUAGCAUUGAUAUUUUCACGGAAUCUAUUAUUGUUUUUUGAGGUACAAGUAUAAAACUAUUACUGUAUUUGAGGCACAGCUAUGACAAUUUAUCCUGAUUACACAAGAUGGAUAAUCAGAGGAUGUUGUUUAUUAAUUUAGCUUCAUUUUUUUUUUGUUGAUAAAUAGCAAUUUUCAUUAACCAAUUGUUGGAAAUCAUCCUGUAUGAUUUGAUGGUAGGUUAAACAUGCAUUAGAAAUAAUGGAUUAGAUAUGUAAUUUAGUUUAAUAGAUACAAUAGAUUUGAAAAACUUUUGAACAGAUCUUGAAUACAUAACAAAUUUUCAAGUUGUCUUCUAACAAGGUUGCAAUUCCGUUCUGUGCAUGUUACAAUCAUCAAAUCUGCUAACAAUUAGAUUGAAACAUGUUCAAUAAUGACGCUGACAUCUAUUGAGAGAAAUUUAAGACCCAAAAAAUGUCAAAUCUAACAAUCAAAUUUGAAACAAAUUUCAAUCUGACAACAAAACAAGAAAAAAUAGAAAAUUCUUACUAAAAACCCCUAUGAGAAAUAGAAAUUUCUCACUAGAAAUCCCUAAAAGAGACGUAGAAUUCACCAAGAAAAUUUAGAAGAAACUUUAGAUCAAAAUUUAGAAGAAACUUUAUUUAAAAAAUUAAAUAAAACGAAAUAUAUGGAAAGGGGACCAUGUUGAUCUCCCUUGUGAAGUGGAAAGCCCUUUGAAUAGAAGAGAAAAUUGGAGAAAAUGAGCGAAUGAGAGGUUAUUUUACCAAUUUACCUUCACUUUUGUGGGAUAUAUUUUCACAUGCUUUCGUCUUAUUUAUUGUUAGAAUUAUAACUUUUAAGUUUUCUAUUGAUAAAGUUUGAAUUGAUUUUUAAUGUGCUAACAGAGUAUAUACUCUCGUAUCUAGAUGUAUGAAAUCUAACUUUAGUUUGAAUUUUAAAUAAAAAUUUUACACAUGUGAUAUACAUACAAAUCUCUUAUAGUGCAUAAAACCUAUUGAUACUAGCAUUUCUCGAAGAGUCUUGUUCACUCACUAACAAAAUUUUUCUCCCUUUUAUGAUAGAUCUAACCUCAAACACCAUUAAAUGACCACCUACUCGCACAAAACCGAUUUGGACAUGCUCCAUAGCAGCCAACAAUUCCCUCCCCUCCAACUCUCACCUUUUUCCUUUCUUCAAAUUGAGACUCCUAGUCACCAAAUUAUUGCCUUUUUACAGCAACUAGUAGAUAAACUCUCUUUCGAUUUUGAAGAAUCAAUACCGUUUACUUUUGUAAAAGCAAAGUGAGAACCCAGUGAAUUUGUAACUAGUACAGCAAGAAAUCACAGACUGAGUGAAAAGGAUAAGAUAAAAGAAGUACAAAAACAAAGAAAGAAAAAUAAUUUCAAAGAAAUAGUCAAUGAAUUCUUCUCGCUUAUGUUUGAGCUUUCAUUUAGGUUGCUAUCUUGCCUCCCUUCAGUCACAACAAAAAUCAAGAUUUGAUUAUGCUGUGGUAACAUAAGAAUUUACACGACUAUAAAUUUCCAUGACAUGCAAAUCAACCACCAAAUUUCAACUUUUGAACAAAAGACUCAGACUUGAGGUGCAAAGUUUAGCAUGAAAGGGAGAAAAUUUUUCAAAUGGACUGCCAUAGAUUUUCUUAAGAAUGCCAAUAUCAUUUGCCAAAGAUUAAUCCAUAAACAUAACACCCAAGUUAAUCAGCUCUUUCCAUAUAGCUGAAUUAUUAAAGAAUUACCAUUGUUACUCAAUUAUAUUAAAAACGAUGGAGACAAACAACUGAAGUAAAUAAUACAUGCUACAAUUACAUUUUUAUUCUCUCGCAUUUGCCCAGGUGCCUAGCCCUGUUUGAGUAAAACAAGUUGCACCUAGAUGGAAGCAUCAAGGGAGACAUCUGCCUCAUCGUAUUCUGGUACCAAGUUCAAGUUCCUGGAUGAAGGUGUUCCUGCAACCACAUCCGCUUCAAUGCCACACUCAUUUGUUCCCCGUCUGAUCUUGAAGUAUCCGUCCUGCAAAUCAAGAAGACAGCAAAAAUGAAGAAGGACCUUAUUUUGCCAGAGCAAAGCAACAGCCUAAACAAUUAGAUAGAGAGCUUACAUCACCCCAGCUUCUAUUCCACUGGUUUGCGAGUAGCUGUAUCAGAAAAAGUAGUUAUUAUACUCGCUAUUCUGGAAGAGUUGCAUUAGAUGAUAAACAAUCUCUAAGAAGAACAAAUUAAUAUACCCAGUAAUCCUCCCCGUCAUCACUGGUACCCCAUCCAAUCAGCUUUACAGCAUGGCCGCCCAUUUCAUCACCUGUUGUGUGUUUGUAAACACCAGAACGAUAAUGGGCGAAGUCCUGUGUUUCACAGAAAAUAGCAGUACAGUUACAUUUUUUACAGGCAAAAAUACCCGAAGUAUGAAAUCAAAUGAAUCAGGAACUGAGAAACGAUGAUAUUCGUACACAGAAUCUUCAAGUCUCAAGAAGUAUUCUUCAAAUCAUCACAUCAUUCCAAAAGAGAAGAAGAGAAUGAGCACAUUUCAUGCAUGACUGUUCAAUCAUAUUUACCUAUUUUCACAUGCCAUGGCACUGAACAAAAAUUUCGUCACCAGGGAGUCACUCAGCCCUUGAUGGGCCAUCAAAACUUCAAAAGUGACAAUCUUGAUGAUACAACCAUCAUAUUCACUGAUCAUCCAGGUUUAGACACAGAAAAUACUGAACUUUCGAUAAAAGAAUGAGAAGAAAAAGGUGGGCUAAUUACCCAAAUGUUGUCUUGUUUAUUGGGAACUUAUUCUUAAAAAAAAAAAAUCAACUUCUAAGUAGUCAACUUCAGUUUGUUUUGAGUUUGUUACUCAGACACGCCACCAUGUUCCAAGAAGAAUUUUUGAGUUUGUGAUCUGUUGUUUGUUGGUCCUUUCUUCUAAAUGACACAAUGGCCCUCUUUCUCGUUACCUUGAAUGUACUUCGUUUCUUUUGCAUGUAAUUUCUCACAGAAUUCGAAGUAAAGGGAAGAAGAAAAUCUGUGGACAGUGUUAGUAGAUUUCUACAUUUAUGGAACUUCAAUAAAAUCAACAUUAGUUUUCUAAUUUCUUACAAAAAAAGACAAUAUUUAGAUAAAUAACCCAGAAAGAGACUCAUCAGCUGGGGAAGCUUGGGUGUUCAGUGGAUAUCUAGCAUGUGUAAGAGGGUUAUUCGUUUUCAGAAAACUCUCAUACUUGGUUUUCUCUUUUUCUAUUCCACAGGUCAUCUGUAAAAUUCACAGUUGACAUUUGGUAUGUUUUCCCUGUAAUCAUAAGGAUUUUGUGUUUUGAAUGUGAACGACAUUCUAAACUUGAACUCCUAACAUUUUUCCAUUUAGAAAUUAAUAGUUUGACAACCUUAACUCACAAAUUUCAAAUGUUAAAGGCAUGCGGAUACACUAAAAACUAAUUAGAACCAGCAACUUAGAAAGUAUAUGUUUUGGAGUAGUCCAGUCCAGAAUAGCCAAACCAGUAUACAACUAGCAUACUCGAGACCCAAGCCAUUACCCACCUUUAUGUCUAUUGUUCAUACAAUAUAGAUUGACAUUUAUACUGUGUUAAUAUUGCUUAUCUGCUUAUCAAUCACAAAUUUCCCAAGUAGUUUUGAUCUAUAUUCAUGAAAUAGCCUGUUCCAUUCUUAAGUCACCCUAAACAAGACAUCAGUUCACAAGGGCAUCAUAUCUGCAUCUUCCAAACAGGCCCUAAAUAAAAAAGCACUAUAUGGAGAAGCAUAUUAAAUAAGCUCAGAAAAUUCUUGUUUAAAUAAAUAUGGAUCAGAACUUUAAAUUCCUUUAAUUCUGUCUUUACCUCAUAAACAGUGAAAGAGACCUCAACUGGUCCAUUUUCAUAUACUUCUGCCAUGAUACUCUGUGGAUCAGAUUUUAUUCUGUAGGCACUGGUGCUAAAAUGCUUUGACUUUCUCCACAGCAAGUUCUCUUUAACACACUUCCGAAUGCACUUUGGGGUGGGAUAUUCAGGUUCACAACCAGGGUGAGAACAUCCAGUUUUAUCAAAGUAAGGGUCACACUGCAAGGAAAAAAUUCAAAACCUUAGAUUCAAAUUGCUAGAAGACUUUCAUGUAAUACAAGAAGAAGCAUUAUUUACCUCUUCAGUCACAACACCAGCAUAUCUAAAGUAUCUCCAAGCAGCAAUGGGAUAACCCCCAUCACAGCCAUCACCACACAAGAAGCCACAGCAUGCUAGGAGAUCGUUAGCAGAAAGUGAAAUAUUCUGCAAUACAACAAUUACAUCCCUUUGGUCUACAGACAUAAGAAAAAACAAAGAGGGUAAAUUUCAUUCGUCAUGACAGUGUUUUACCAUGCCAAACUGUAUGCAAAAACGAUCAGAGAGUGAUUCAACAGCACCAAAAGCCCAACAAGAACCACAAUGUCCCUGACAAAUCAAGAACCAAAUUUGUUUAGGAGUGGAAUUUAAUGUUUGAACAAAAACAGGAAGUGCAUGAAUGUUGGUAAAUCAAGUCACCUGAUCUUGAGAAUGUGCAGCCAUUUCAACAGGUUGCAUUUCAAAAGGAAAAAGUUAGCACCCUUCAUAAACAUUGUCAGUAAAUAUAUUCAAGCGUGCAUGUGACUGACCAAGAAUUCUCCCAAUAGUGCCACAUUGAGGCCAAGCUGUUCGUGCAUCAAACUGGUUGGGCAACUUCAGAUCUUUAGGAUGUGUUACAACCGGAGUGCUCUCCAAAACACCCUUUGGUGUUGGUUUGACUCCAAGAAGUUGCUUAAAUUGGCCAACCUGUCAAGAAAUUGCAAACAUAUUUACAAAGUUUCCUUAUUCCUUCUUUUAUAUCAAAAGUGGAAGAACAUGUGUCUAUUUAUGUUCUCAUUUUUCUUUUUUUCUUUCAGGGGGCAGGGGAGGUUUAAAUGUGGAUAGUUGUACUCACAGUGUAGUCUGAAAACCGAAGAUUCAUUUCAGCUCUCCAUCCAGCUGUGGAAUUACUAUUAAUCCUCUCAACAAUGGAAUCCUGGAUGGUCAUUUCAUAUCAGACAACUCCCAUCACAAUGUAGCUAUACCUCAAAAAGAUGUGGAGAGACGGCAAUAUGUCAAUUAAGCACGAGUACCUGAAGAAUCUUAGAAUUAUGUUUAAGAUGAGAAUUUGAUGCUUCUGCAUGGACCUGUCACCAUAGAAGUUGUAUAAGUCAGACACUGUAAACCAUUUUGUAUUGUUGAAGAAAGGUAAUGUAGCUCUCUCUCUCUCACACACACACACGCACAUAUUUGAUGCUUCCACAUAAACCUGCUUACAACAGAGGUUGAAUGAAUCAUACAAUCUAAACAUUUUAUAUUGUUAACAAAGUUAAUGUAGCACUCUCUCUCUCUCUCUCUCACAUAAAUCUUCUUACCACAGAGGUUGUAUAAAUCAUACAAUGUAAACCAUUUUGUAUUGUUAAACAAGUUAACAUAGCAGUAGUUCUCUCUCUCUCUCUCUCUACCCCCCCCCCUGGCCCAAGAACUGUAGAACUUCAGAUCCUAAGGUCAUAGAAGUAAAAGAUUGGUAAAUGAUCCUAGGUCAUAAAAGUCCAUGCAACUGAUGACUGACUGUUAUGUGUCAGCCCUUGGGAAAGAGUAUGACGCAGGGAAACAAAAAGGAUAAGAAUGAAAACUCGCAUCCAGACAAUUUACAUGUAAUGCAGCAUGCUCAAUUAGUGAUUUUAUGACUUGAAGGACUCUUUUCUUUCCUUUAUAGCAUGUUUCUUAAUGUAGCUUUAACAAGAAACAAUGGAAUAGAAAGUCCAGAAGUACAGUGAAUGUAGGUGCUCAAGGUUACAGCAGUACUUUUCAUUUUCCUGCUUCCUUAUCUCAAACAAGAAUGAGAACUGAUGUAUAAAACUAGCAGGAGCAUAAUUUGAAAGAGAAAAGGUAUACUAGACAAGCUCUAAUAAUGCUAGAACAGGUUAGUUUGGCUUGUAUAGUUUUCAUCAUAAAUGCGCACAAAAUCAUAUUUGAAACCAAUAAAGGUCGAAAUUUUUUCUUCUUAAGGAUGUCCAAUACGAAGAGAUAAGAAAAAUUAACACAAAAUAACUGACCUGAUGACAACCUUUAUAAAAAUGUUACUAAGGAGAUUGAUGCUGGCAAAGUUGAAGGCCACUAACCUUAUUUUUGGUGGAUUCCAAUUAAACCCAAAGAAAAAUGCUCUUACAUUCUAUUUUUGGUAUCCAUGCUCAAUAGUAACAGCAGUUUGUUGACAAAUUGCGGUAGGAUACAACAACAGAGGAUGAGAAGUAAUUCUAAAAGCAGCCCUAUGCUACUAGUGACUUAACAAGAAAAGACUUCAAUCCAAUUUCCAAAGGAUGAAGAUCUUACCAGGAAAAAAAAAAGAAAAAACUAGAUCCCUAUAUGCUAAUGGAAAGCAGUUUCUCCCUGAUAGAACCAAAAAACAAUAAAAUGGAUGGUCAAAAGAUCCUUCCUUGUUCUAGUUUCCAAAAAUCCUAGUGAUUUACCUUCAUGAACACAUGUAAAGAUGCAUUGCGUAUGACAUUCUGUCUGAAACAUUGACUAAUCAACCAUUUAUAUGAGAUAACAAGGAAUCAGAUAUUCACAGAUAUGUCAGUGGAUAUUGAUAAUUUGCCAAAAAGAAAGAAGUGAUAAUGGAACUACAGUUUAGUAGAUAAAAAGAAAGUAGUAGUAAUGAAACUACAGUUUAGUAGAUAAAACUUAGCCAGAAGCCAAAAAUAUUACCUUUUUUUUGGGGCAACAAGGGAAAAGGAACCCAAGUACGUUGAUAUAUCCAUCAAUGCUUAUGUUUACUUAGAAAUUAAUACUUUUAGCAAUCUCUGGUAAUCCAGGAUGACAUAGUAAAAAUCCAAAGGACAGGAAUAAAAAUCACAAAAUAAUGAUACUAUACAAACCUCCAGCUGGAAUGUUAACAUAGCACCAAAAAGUAGCAGGACUGUGAUGUAAAUCCCAGCCAUGGCCGUUUCCUAAGUUGUAGUUGUUUCCAGACCUGAAUCCGCUGACACUCUGGUUCAAAGUGUAAUUUGUUCAACUGCUCGAACAGGGCCUGGAAAAAACUAUUAGGCAAGCAUGAUCUAAGUACACAGAAUUAGUAUAACAGCAUUAAGAACUUUAGGAAUCAACCAAACACAUUGCACGUUUAGCUUCUUCUUCUUUUUUUUGGUGAAAAAUCAUGCCCCAUAAAGCAUGAUACCAGUAUUAAAAGCAAAUUCAUAUUCACUCUCAGAAACAACAUGACCAUCAACUCCUGUAUUAUAAUUAGUAAGUAUCCCCUGAAAUAGAAAAUCAAAUCACACCUCAUAUCUAACCAAGAUGAUACAGAGUAUCAAUAUGGAACAGUCGAGACAUAUCAAUCUCAAGACAACUUAAAUAACCAAGAUCUGUUUUUGACAAAAAUACAACCUUAAAAGAACAUGACAACUUAAUUCCACUACUAGCAAAAUAUAGGCAAAACAAGCAUCUAUCCAAAAAGAGAAAAAUUUGAUCUUUGACUAACUUGUAUCGUUCCAAUGACGUGUUCCUUAUAGUUUGGACUUUGGAGGAUCAGUACUUCAUCUUAACAUGCACUGUGAUCCACCAAAAUCAUCACUAGGAGCUUAAAAAUAGUUCAGCCCUUUGGUCAAACUGGGAAAUUUGAAUCACUGAAAUACUACUAUAUCUUUCAACAAUUGCGGAAUAAUAAAAUUACUACCCAGAGAAAAAAAACUACUUUUUCCAUUAGCUCGAUUGUCAUAACUUCAAACUUCAAAAUUCCAAAAAAAAAAAAUGAAGAGUAAAAGAAGCGUAGUAAUGAAAUAUAUUACUUAAAACAUAUUUGACUACAAAUUUGAAUUUUCUGAGCAAGAAUGUUAAAAGCAAAGGAAAAAAUUAGUAGGCUAAUGAGAAGAACAUACCUAGGAGGUGAUGAUUCUCCCUUGUAGGAAUGAAGGGUCGAGGAUUAAUGUUGUAGAGAACUGCAAUAAAGACAAGGCUCCGGGAGAAAAAGUAGCGGCCCUUGGGCCCUUUUUAUAGCUGUCUUGCAGAAACUGGGGGGUGGCAAUUAUGGACUUAUUGGGACUGGGAGGGACGUCAGCAUCCAGCCAUCCAAGAUGAAGGGAUGACGCUGAUUGGUGGAAGCAAUCACCGUUUUAGAUAUUUUUCUGGAACUUGCAAUCAGCUUGUCAAUUGUUCUGCCGUGCGGGUUCUUUACACCUUUUAUUUGUUUCGUGGUUAAACACUUUGAAUAGAUUAGUUGUGUUUUUUUUUUUUCACGAUGCACGUGGCCUUGUUUGGAGAGCCAUUUAAAAAAAAAAAUUACUACAUUUGUUCGUGAAUAUAUUUCUUAAUUAUCUUUUUACCUCAUAUAUAUCAAAUCGCUAUAGUAAUUUUUCUAAAAAAAUUUAGAAAAAUGCAAUUCAAAUAUAACCUUGUGGACCAGACUAAUCCUCUGCGAUGGCAAGAAUCCUGCCCAAAUAUGCCAGCACGUCAUCAAUGCGGGUCAAAUUAGGACCUUCCGCUAAAGAGCAGGUUACGGAACCAAAUGCUCUGCCCGCCGGGGCCGAAUAGAUUUAGUUGUGUUCAACUGAUGAUAAAGUCACACAUGAUUUUUAUGUCUAGCUUAUUGUGUGUGUCUAUGUACACAUAAAUACAUACAUAAUAUAAAGAGAGAGAGUGAAAUCUAAUUUUGUAUUUUAUACGGCUUUUUUUUUGCUUUUUUUUAUUGAACUUGAACUACAGUAACUUGUUAAAAUACCACUAAGUUUUAUAUAAAAAAAAUGUAUUUCAAAAUAUCCAAAAAACACAUAUCCAUUUCCCUUUUCUAUCACCACCUUCUCUAACCAGUUCCACUUAUGACGUUGUCACCACCACAGUCACCACUUCCCCUAAGGAGAGGGGAAUGGGAAGGGGCAGAAAGAGGGUAGGGAUGAUAGGUGGUGGUGGAAAAGAAGAGAGGGAGAAUGGCGGGUGGUGGUGAGGAAAAGAGGAUAGUGGUUGCAUCAGAUUUUUUUUAGGGUAGGAGGAGCGGAGGUUUGGCGGGAUAGAGGGGUAGGGACGGUGGGUUGGUCGUGAGGAUGUGGCGGUAAGGAUGGAUGGGGUGUAGUAGGUGAUAGAGUUCUAUAAGUAUUCCCUAAAUACUUUACAUAAAAUUUUAGACAAAAUCCCAAAAAGUACACAAUCCAAACUGACCUAAGAUUGUUUUGUUUUUACAUUUUGGAUUAAUCUUUGGUGUAUACACUAUCAGCGUUACAUGAUAAAAUUUGAAUUUGAAAUCCAAUUUUUACACAUAUAAUAUGGAUCUAAUAGUGAUAGUGUAUACAUUAUCAAUAUAUACUCUAGCCACAAGUAUAUUUAAUCAUCUAUCGAAUACCAAUACUCGCAAGAACUAUAGAAACCAGGUGAAGAACAUAGUUUUCUUUUGUGUUUUGUCUUUACUUUGAAUUUUGGAAUGAGGUUGUUAUGUUAACUUUUUAGCUUAAGAUUCUUUGUUUCUAGUGUUUAUGGAAAAAUAUUGAGCUUCAUAUAACAAAAUUGAGAUUAUCAAUUUAAUUCUUCUUAUUCUUUUCAUAUUUUGAUAAAAGAUUAGAGAAAGUAAAACAAGAUAGCCCUUUUUUGCAAUUUAGUUAAACAUGGCUCUUUUGUAUAAAAUCCUAGCAUUUAUUUGAUUCAAAAUGGAUAUUCUGUUCCACUUUUUUUUAUAUUACUAUUUUUCCUUCAUAAACAUCAUAUUUUAGUUCUUUUUGUCUUCUUAAAGUCCAAUAAUUAUUAACUGAAUAAUACACAAAAUUUAUCAAACUCAAAAAAAUCAAAAUGCUUAAAAAUGAGAUUUUUUUAUGAAUUUUCUAUUGUAUUUUUAAAUUUUCUAUUAUAUAUUGCUUUUUUAAGACUAUUGUAUUUAUUUUUUAAUCAGUUAAUAGUUAUUGAAUUUAAAGAAAACAUAAAAAAGAACUAAAAUAUAAUAUUUAUGAGGAAAAAUAGUAAUAUAAUAAAAAAUGGAAUAAAGAGUAAUACAGAAAGUGGAACAGAAGAUCCGUUGGAGCAUUGAUAUUUUCAAGGGAAAUUGUAACUACUAUAUAUGAGGUACCGUACAGGUAUGACAACUUAUAUGAGGGCCGCCUUCGGGUCUUGACCCGGACACCCCUGUGUUGACAAAAAAAAAUAUAUAUAUAUAUAUAUAUAUAUAUAUAUAUAUAUAUAUAUAUAUGAGGUACCGUACAGGUAUGACAACUUAUCCUGAUUCCACUAGAUGUAUAAUCAAAGGAUAUCGUUUAUUAAUUUACCUUCAUUUCUGUGGGAUAUGGUUUCCCAUGAUUUUCUCUUGCUUACUACCGGGAUUACAACUUUUUAAGUUUUGUGUUGAGAAAGCUUGGACUAAUAUUUUAUACACUGACAAAAUAUAUAUUAUAAAACCUAAAUAUGGGACAAUUAAUUUUUAUUUGAAUUUAAAAUAAAAAGUUUUCACAUGUGGCAUUCAUUCAAUUUUUUAAAAUAAAAAAUUUUAUUUCAUGUAAUAAAUAUAUAUUAAUGGCAAAAAAUAGAUCAAACAAACAAACAUUAUAUAGAUACAUAUAGAUCUAAAAUCAGUAGAUAUGACAAAUCUAAAAAAUAACAUUAAUGCUUGUGCAUAUCGUCCAUUCAAAUAUGUAGGUUAAGUUUGUUUGGAUUAUACAUUAUUUACACCUUAUUUACACAUAUUAACUGGCUUGUAUUAUUAAUACAUUUUUCAAUUAUUUUUUUUAUUUCACAUGCAUCACAUCAAAAAAGUGUCACAGUAAUUUUUUCACAAAAUUAUUUCAAAUAAUCUACUAUCCAAACACACUUACCUCAAAAAGUCUAAGAUGUUGCGUAAUAAGAUUUUUCUUCUCUUUAUGACAAAACACCCUCAAAGGGCAUUAAAUGAUCACGUAAACGAAUCUGAAACCCCCCGGGCCGGCGGCUAGGGGUCUCAGCUCUUCGCUUUCUUUCAAAUUGGCAGCAAAUUCUUUCAAUUUUGAAGAAUCAAUGGUUUGUUUGGAUAGUAAAAUUAUCCCAAAUAAUAUUUCACUUGCAUCAUAAACACAUUUUUCAAUUUAUCUUUUUAUAUUUCCAACCACCUUUUUAUCUCACAUAUAUCACAUCACAAAAAGUGCUACAAUAAUUAUUCCAAAUAAUACUUUAUCCAAAAUACUGUUUACUUUUGUCAGUGGCGGAUUUACAUUGGGGGCACGGCCCCCACUGCCCUCUUAAAUAUCUAUGAUACCUACCAAAAUUUGAUAUAAUUUCAACUGUGCCCCUGGAGUUUUGUGUAUCUAUUGGUUUAUAGGCUCUCACUGCCCCUUUAAAUUUCUAUAAUACCUAUACAAAUUUGAUGUAAUUUCAAGUGUGCCCCCUGGAGUUUUGUGUAUUUAUUGAUUUAUAUGCUUUUAAAAUUGUCUUUGAUUUUACUUGUUGUUAUAGCUACCGUAAAAAGGGUUUUUUAAAUGAUGAAUAUAGUGAAAAAUCGGUUACAAAAUAGAAUGGAAGACACUUGGAUGAAUAAUUGUUUAGUUACUUAUAUUGAGAAAAAUAUACUUCGUGAAGUUCAAAAUGAAAAGAUUGUAAACCGUUAUCAAAAUAUGAAAACUCGUCAUAAGCAAUUGUAAAUGGUUUAGUUGCUUUUGAAAUAAAAUUAUUAUUAUUACAUUAAUAAUUUUGAGUUUGUCUUUUGAUGUUUUGCUUGAAAUAUUUGCAUCAUUUGUACUUGUUAGUGAAUAUUUUUUUCCUUAAAAACUAAAAAAAGAGUAGGUAAAAAAUUUUACAGUUGCUUUUGCCCCCAACUGAAAAUUUUUUCUGCCUCCGCCACUGCUUUUGUAAAAGCAAAGUUACAACCUAGUGAAUUUGUAACUGCAAAAGCACAAGGAUUAGACCCAAUUAAACACCAUUAAAAAGUGUAAAAAGAAAAAGAUAGGGUAACAGAAGUAUAAAAACAAUGAAAGAAAAAUAAUUUCAAAGAAACAGGCAGUGAACUCUUCUCACUUAUGUUCGAGCUUUCAUUAAUAAAUGUCAAUAUCUUUUGUCAAGAUUAAUCCAUAAGCUUUACACCCAAGUCAAUGAGCUCUUUGGAUAACGUAAUAACAACAUUAAUGCUUGUCGCAAAUCAUAAUUAUUAAAGAUACGGUAUUUCGUGUAACUAAUCCAUUUCCUUUUUCCAUUUUAGAAAAUUGUAAAAGAUAAAAUUUUAUGACGGAAAUACUAAACUUUUAGCGAUAAAACAUGGACUACUCCAAUGGUGAGGGUUGCAAAAUUUACCAUGGAAAUAGAGAUCACAAAGCAACAACCUUUAUUUAUACUUCCAUAAAAAAAAAUCCAAUAUUCUAAGUUGAACUUAUGAAUAUUUGUGCAAGGUUAUACUAAAAAUAUGUAUUAUAAAUAUUUACUUACAUUAUAUACUUUUUUAAUAUAAGUGGAAGGGCUCGUUGGGACCUUUCAUUUAUCCUCCUUCCCCCGUAUCCAUAUAUGUACGAGGUGUCUAUAUAGCAUCUUUACAGUUUUUCUCCUAAUGCUAUCUCUUUGUAGCAUAUUUUUAUGCUGUUUUACAUUUGCUAUUGAUUGAUAUUUCAGAUGCCUUUUUGCUCUUUCUAAUUUCUCCAAAGAAAGCAAUUAAUGCAGUAUCUUUCACCAGAACUACGUAGAACAUUGAAAGAGUCCCGUUGAUUUUGCUAUACCACCAAAUUUUGAAUUUUCCCGUAAGUUACACAAGUUAUGCAUUUUCCAUAAAAUUUUCAAUUUCUCGUGACAUGAUCACCAAAUCGCUACGACCAUUAGGGACAAGAGGUGCAACCGUUUGUACCGGUUACGUGCAUUUUGCACUGUGCGUAAUUUUGAUUGCACACGGUGUAACUUUCUUUACACAUGACGUAAUUUUAGAACAAAUUUUUGUGGGUCUUACAUACGACGUGAAAAUCGAGUUACAAGAUGUGAUCUGAGCCGCACAAAUUUUUUUGACCAAAUCAUGACCGUCAACUGCCACGAACCGUUCCUGCCCCUUUUCCGACCAUUAGCGACUUGCCCAUCAAUCGUGUCAACGAACAAAGAUAGAUUAAAGUAACGGACAACGACUUUGGUUUCUUUUUUUAUUUUUUGUUUUUUAAGUUUUCGUAAGGCAAUGGUAUCAAAUUCGGUUUGCUAUUCAUGUAGUAUUUCAUUUUUAAAAUAGAAAGAAUAAAAGCAAAGGAAGGUUUUCAGAACCAAUAGAAAAAUUUUCAAUUCAAACUCAAGCUUGAACUCCAAUUCAAGUUUGAGGCUAUUCAAGUUUUAGUUUGUGUCUAAUCAAGUACAAUUUAAAAAUUUAAAAUAGAAGACCUUUAAAAUGAUAAAAAGCAGACGUUUUGCUCUUAUGACUACCCCAAAAAAAUUAAAAAAAUAAUAAUAAGAAAAGCAUGUACAUAUAUACUAUGUUGGAAGGAUCAGGGGUGUUUACACUUCGGAGAAAAUCGAAUAAUCAGCCAAUCCAAUUUAGAUUGGAAAUUGGAUAUCAGUAGAAUAGAAUGGGGGAAAACGAAUGAAGAUCCAAUCUUAAAUUUUGGUAAUAUAGUUUGGAAAUAGGUAUUGAAAUUUGAUGCCCGAAUUUUGGAUUACUAACCGAAUUAUCAAAUUUCUUAUUUUGAUUAAAUAUUUUAUAUAUUUCAUGCUUACUAAUAUAUCAUAUUACAUAUUAAUGUAUUUGUCAAUAAUGUUAUUAGUUAUAAUAUAUGUUUAUAAACAAAUAUGUGACCUUACAAGCGUAUUAAUUAACAUAUUAAUAACAUGUAUAGUGUUAAUUACAUAUUAAAUAUAAUUAAUUAUUCUAUAUUAGAAAAUUAAUUUAAACUUUGGAUAUUUUACUGAAAUACCGACUAUUUGGUCAAAAUCCAAUUACCAAUAUCUAAUUACCAAAUAAAAGUUCAGAUGCUAACCUUGUUGAAAAAAAAGGGGAAAAAAUGGAAAUCAAGAUUGGUGUCAAAUAUACGAGGGAGGGGCAGAGCUAUAUGUCGUUGAGGGUGAGCAAUUGUUCUCUCCUCUCCCUUCUCCCAUACCCUCCUCAACUCUGAAAAAAGGGUUAAUUCCACUUUGUCCCCCCAAACUUUGGACGAUUAUCCACUUAAGUCCAUAAACUUCAAAAUGGGACACUUAAGUCUCUAAACUUAUAAAUACCUCCCACUUAAGUCCCUGAACUUAUAAAAUGGGACACUUAAAUCCCUAAACCCUUAUAAAAUGGGACACUUCGACCACCAACAGCAUUCAGGAUUUGUUAACAAUUUUCCUUAAGUGGGAGGUAUUUAUAAGUUUAGAGACUUAAGUGUCCCAUUUUGAAAUUUAGGGACUUAAGUGGAUAAUUGUCCAAAGUUUGGGGGGACAAAGUGGAAUUAACCCCUGAAAAAAUUACCUUUUAAGUUUAGAAAUUUUGAAAAAUUUUAAGUUCCUCCUAAUUUGUCUCCCCUAAAAUUUUAAAAAUUCACAUUCUUAUAUGUCAUGCCACUAAAAUUUUUAAAAUUGGCUUUCUUAUCUAUAUUGCCCCCUAGAUAAUUAAAAAUUCAUAAUUAUUACGCUUCACAAGAUUUUUAAAUUCUUUAUAAAUUAAUCUUUUAUACGCUAACAAUAUGUAAAAAAUAUUAUCCAUUAUACAUGUGAUUACAUACAAUUUAAAUACAUUAGUUAACUCUAAUCAUUGUAGUUUUUCUAUUUGAUGAUUAAGGCCCUAUUUGAUAAUUCAGUUUAACACUUAAAGUUAAUGAAUUCAGAUCUUAACAUAUUCAAACUAUUUUGAUAACCAAAAAUUGAACAUCUGAAUUAAUUAAAUGACACCUAAUUUCUAAGCAAAACUUGCUCUCAAAAUUAAGUAAUAAACUAUUCACUUAUCACUGAAUAUGAUAUGCACUCAAAUGUAUUGGAUUUAAUGCUUAACAAUUCAAUAAUUUAAUAAAUUCAGACUUCAGAGUUUUCAGAUUUCAGCCUUCAGUUUUAUUAAACGCACCCUAAGAUAAAUCUUGGUGUCCAAUAUCAACUAUGUUUUCUGAACAUCAAUGAACUAAAUAUUCCCAUUUUAGCUUACAUUCUGCAGGGAAAAAAAAACCAAUGGUGCCAGAGAUAAAGAGAUAAAAGCAUAUCUUCCAAUUUUUUGUUUAAUAAUUAAGGGAUAAAGUAUCUUUUAGUAUCUGCUUUAUAUUCCAUUGUCUUGUGUUUGAUUGGAAUGCCCAAUGAUUGUUAUUACACCCUACACAUGGCUAUAUGCCUUUGGGUCCAUUAAUUUAUCCGUAUGGUCCCUCAUGCAGUGGACGGCAGAGUUCUUUGUUAAACCAAUUAAAUUUUCUUUUUCUUUUUCUUUUUUUGUACUUUCUUUAGCCUCAUUUUUAAUCAAUUCUUUCUUUUUUUUCAAUUCUGUGGAGCCACGGCCAGUGACAUGUCCCUACCAACUUUUAUGAUUUCUCAGUCUAUAAAUCAAUUCUCAAUUCCUCGUUUUUAUAUAUAGGUCCUUGUAUAUAAUUUCGUACUUGUGUCAGAUUUAGGGAUCGAAUUUUAAACCUGACAAACGGGAGCGAGAAAUAUGUGAAAAAAGAUGAGAGAUUGAAAAAAUUUUAAAAAAUUUAUAGCAUAGAAUACUUAGUUUGAAAUGCCAUUUUAUCCAGUGUUAAUUAUUACAUAAAUAUAUGAAUUAUAUUCGCUCAUCAUUUUAAAAUGACAAAAAAAAUCCAUUAAUCAAGGGACUAUAGUUGAUCAAAUUUUUUUUUAAGUCUCAUGCUAUCAUUUUUUUUUUUUUUUUUAGUUUAAAACUUGAUCGGGAAAAUAUGUUGUUCUCUUAAAAUCCUAUAAUGCCGAUAUUUUUUUUUCUUUUAAGUUGCUAGUUAGCUUUUGAGAUCAUUUCUAUAUUAAUUUAAGUAAAUUUUGAGGUUCUGUAUAUGUUAGUUUAAAUUUAAAGUAGAUAUUAUCAUAUUCAUAUGCAUAAUAUACAGUUAGAUAAUAAUUUACUUAUUACUUGUGUAUUAUUUAUCUAAAUUCACUAGUGUAAAAGAAUUUAGACAUGACUUGUUCUGAAAAUAAUACUUAAAAUAAUUUUCGUAAAGUUUUAGGUACUAUUUUUUCUUUUUCCUAAUUGACGGAUUUUUCCAAUUGGAGGACCAAGUCCUCUCUGUGCUGGAAAGUGGAAACGACAUGCUUGUUGGGAAAUUUUGAACUCGUCAUAUUAUCGUGAGAAUAUGUCUUUCUUGUUCUCGGUCAUUUUCUCAUAUACAAAAAAGGUAAAAUUUUUUAUUUAUCACGAGAAAAUGUCACUUUCAUAACUGGGUGACACUGACCUCUCGAUUCUCCUUUUCUUUUAAUUAUUAUUUUUUCUUACUGAAUAAUUGAGUACUUUCCACAGCCCCAUCUGUCAAUUGUCAACGGCUGGGUUUUUUCUGUUAGUUAAGACUUUUGUUUUAUUUUAGCUAUCUUUUAAAUAAUCAUUUAUUUUCAAUUGGACAACAAAUCUUCGUUGAUCAAAUGUACUAGGUUAAGCGUAUAGGGAUACUGGAGAAAGGAUUCAUUCGAAUACAGAAAGAGGAAUGUAAAAAUGGGAACAAUUUCAACUUAAAGGUAGAGUAUAAACUUUUCUUGAUUUUCAGUUACCUUUGAUAAUAGACUUGCAAUAAAGCCAAGAAGCCAGGUUUUUCCAAUUUUAAAGCUUGACAUGCAGUGCGGGGAAUUGGAAAAACUAAUCCAUUUCAAGAAUGAGAAGUCAGGUUGAGGGUGCGUUUGACAAAAUUGAAAUUUGAAAAUAGAAGUUUGAAGUCUGAAAUAUGAAAUUUGAAUCCAUUAAAGUAUUAAAUUGUUAAGUAUUAGAUCUAAUACAUUUGAGUGCAUAUCACGCUCACUGAUAAGUGAAUAACUUAUCAUUUAAUUUUAGGAGUAAGUUUUGUAUAGAAAAUUCAGUGUCACUUAAUUAAUUUAGAUAUUCAAUUUUUGGUUAUCAAACCAUCUGAAUAUAUUAAAGAUCUAAUUCAAUUAAAUUUAAGUGUUAAAUUGAAUUAUCAAACAGGACUUUAGUCUCAUUUUAUGAAAUUUAAUGAGCAGGCAAUCUAGCCAUCUACAAUUUGAUCUGAAUACAAAGCAUAGACAUAUUAGUGUAAUUCGUAACUCGCAAAAUUCAAGAGACAUAAGUGGCCUAUUUACCUUUAUUUAAAAAAUAAAUCAAAGGUAUUCGCAUCCAUUUUAUGGUCUGCGACUAAUGCUGUUAAAGUCGAGUCAGACUUCCUAUAAGGAAAAGUUCUUCCAAUGUUGUCCUAUUAUACUGUCUAUAACACCAUCAAUCUAGCAUCGAUUUAUUCCUUGUAUUUCAUAUGCUUAUUGAAUUUUGUUAUUUUGGGAGAAGAAAUUGGUUGAGUGGCUCGGGAGGACGAAAUAUAAGUGAAAGAUUUUAGGUUUAAAUCCUAAAAAAAAAAAAAUUUUGUUGCUAUUUUGGGUCAAAACUUUUCUCAAGUCUUUCAAUAUUCCCUUACUCAGCAUUAGCAAAUCAUGUUGUUGUUUUCUAGAGAGGAUGAGAAUCUGAUUUUGCUUGUUCUACUAAUUUCUGCUAAAGUCUCCACUGAUGACUGCUGAGUUUCUCAAGAAUACAAGUGGAAGUGAAAUGAAUACAAAACGACAAAUCCAUGACAUUUCUCAUAACCAUUUUUUCCAUACGAAGCUAGCAUUUUUCCAACGUAUGACGGCCGGCUUGUUUCCAUUAGUUAGUUGCUAAUCCACUCCUCGACCAACACCACACUAAGGCCUAAGCCAUGCCGCCAUUCAACAUUUCAAUUGCAAAUAACGACACCAAAGUAAACCUCCUCCCACCAACCCAAAAAACCCAAUUUUUUUUUUGUUUUGAUAAAAAAGGAGAUGUUAUUCCACAUAUUAGCGAAAUUUUGUAAUAAUACGUAAUGAAAUAGAACACAAGAAGUAAUGUACGGUGAGUAAAUAUCGUUCUUAUUAAGGCAAAUUCUUAAUGCAUAGAAAACGACACGUUUCUCUACUAUUGAAUAAAUUGAAAAUAAAAAAAAAUGAAUAACUAAGAAGAGUAAAAAUAAAAUUGAUAGAUAUUCCCUAAUGCUAAACGCAAUUAACUUUCGAAGUUACUGAAUUUGAUACUAGAAUUCGACACAAUACUGUGGGGAUGCAAAUUCUUACGUCAUACUUUUCUCUUUUUGUUUUUUCCCUUUGUCCUUGCACGCUAAACAUGCACCAAAACGUUUGUUUUUGUCCCUUCAACGUCCAAGUUCCACUUCCAGCUCCACUUUCCAAAUUAUCACGAUAAAAUAAAAUUCCCCCAAUCAUCACCUGGAUCAGUAACCACUUGCCCAUCCCGUGGGCCCCUUAACCCACCUCAGGAGGAGAAAGGUACCAAAAAGCUACAAUAAGUUCAAAAUUACGCCCUCAGCCCUCAUCCUCUCAGGACUCAGGGAAUAUACAGAAACCCUCCCGCCCCCCCAUCCCAAAAAAAUAAAAACCAAUUUCUCCAUUCCCUUAAAAAAAUAUAAUUAAAGUACAUAAAAUUGGCGAAUUAUUUAAUGAUUAUGUAUGAAGCAAGCCAGUACACUCUGGAAAAGCACAAUCCCUUUUUUUUUUUUUUUCCUUUUUAGCAAUUGAAACCGAAAAUUCAAAUUGAAGAUUGGAGUACAAAUUAAUAAGUUCAAUUAAUCUUCCAAGGAGAGAAAUUAAAUUCUUCAUCACAAACGGAGAAACAAAAAAAUAAAAAUAAAAAUCCAAUCAAAUUUCUCUCCCCCAUCUCUAGCUUAAUUUCUCGGAAACUCUGAGAAAUUGAGAAGAGCACGAGAUCAACAACAAUUACAGGAGGGAAAUCGAUCGAUCGACUUCGAUCUCCAUCAUCAUCUCAUCUCGUUCUACUUUGGAUUCGUUUUCGUUCUCGAUCCCUUCAUCGAU